Molecule: long non-coding RNA, 77415 nt
Filed under: Solanum tuberosum (potato)
Lineage: Eukaryota; Viridiplantae; Streptophyta; Magnoliopsida; Solanales; Solanaceae
Description: long non-coding RNA (STUB_LNC011108)
Rfam family: tRNA (bases 20691-20763)
Source: RNAcentral
CCAAAGUUGUUUUCCCGAUACCUCCCAUCCCUACGAUUGAGACAACUUCUAGUUCCCUUCCUCCUCUAGCAAGUUGAUCCAGCAUCAUCUCAAAUUCAUUUUCACGGCCAACCAUUAUAUUCUCGGGCUGCUCAACAUCAUGUUCAGGUAAACUGACAAGUGAGCUAGUUUGUGGUUUUAGAUCUUUCAUGCUGUCCGAUGCUGCCAUCCACUGUUUCACGGUGGAAUCAAUGCAUUCUAGUGCUUGUUCCAAGACGAAAAAAAUCUCCCACAUAGCCCUGCUUCUUUCCUCCAAAUUCUGUGCUAAAAAAACAUUUCUUGAUUCCGAGUCAACCAUAUCUUCUGUUGUGUAUGCUACCUCUACGAUUUCAACUUCCAAGAUUGUUAACUCCUCAUGAUCGCCCGUUAUAUUGCAGGAAUUCUCCAGAAUAGUUCUUAAAGAUUCGAGCUUUUCAUAAAACGGUUGCAAAUCACAUCCAGUAAGUUCCAUUGAUUGAUGUAUGGUUCUCAUAAGGGAAGUAACAGCAGCAUAAGCCAUAUAUCCAAAAAAUAGAAAUAUCUCUCAGUAUGAAAAUGGACAAAUUGCCACAAGUCAUGUAAUUUUUCAGUUUUUAAGAAAACAGAAAAUGCAAACUUCUUUCUUUUACUAGGCUAUUUCCAUCACAUUUCCAGCUAGGUCCACCAACCUUAUCAUCAUGUAGACAAAAGCAGAGACCAAAGUUUAAAAAAAGAAAAAGAAAAAAAGACAGGAUUCUAACUGGAAAAAGUUGAAAAAAUUGUGACCAUUCAUUAUUAUACCUUACACUUAUCUAUUCAUGAAUAUAAGUAGGGAAAAGGGCCUCAUUUACCCUGAACUUUAUGAUUUGGAGCUGAUAUACCCUUCGUUUAAAAAAUGGCCCAUAUAUGCCCCUGCCGUUAUAGAAAUGGCUCAUAUAUGCCCUUUUACUUAACAGACCAAUAUUUAAUAAAUUAAAAAUUCAUUUUUUUAUGCUUUAAUUUGAGAAAAUGCCACGUGGCUCUUAAAAUACCCCACCCAAUAACUUUUCAGCAACCCGACCCAAUGGAAACAAGAAAACCCCAUCCACUUAAAUAAACCUAGCCCAUUUCAUUCUAUGGUCUCCACUCUCCACGCUUGACAUGAAAAAAAAUCAAAAACUUGUUAGGGUUUCAGUGAGCUCUAAACUGGUGUCAAUCAAUCUCAAUAAUGUUCAAAAUCUUAGGUAAGUUUCGAUUAUUUUCUUCCCUUACUUUUAAGGAUCUUUGGUGUUAAAAAUAUAGGAUAAUAUGUGAGAAAAGUGUAACUGAGUUUACCUAUGUGCUUUUUUCCCUUGACAUUCUGUCCAUGGAAGGUUUAUUUUCUUACUUUAAUACAUGAGUUUAUCUCUUUGUAUGCAGAGAUGGAAUCUUUGUUGGUCCCCAAAUAGUUAUUGUCUCUUUAGUAUUUUAAAAUUCAUUUUUCAAUUGGUUGGUGUUAAAUGCUAAGGUGGUCCCUUAUGUCUAAUUUAUUUGCUUGUUGCAGGUGUCAUUUUGAAGGAUGAUUAAAGAAGUGGAUAUUGUUUUCAACUAUGGGGGCAAUAGGGUAAUUUCCCCAAAGCUGGGAUACAAUAUAAAAUUUCAGCACACCUGGUAUUAUAAUACUUGUUUAGUUUGUUAUGAUGAUUUGUGUGAAGCUUUUACUUCCAAAUUUGGAUUUAAGGAAGUUCAACAAUUGUUGGUCACUGGUCCAUCUGGUACUUAUUAUGUAAUUGAAGAUAAUGAUGGAAUUAAGACUCUUCAAUACUUAUUUUCAGAAGAUUUCAAGGUAAUAGAUUUUUAUGUUGUAGAUGCUCAUGAAUUGAGAGUUUCUGCCACAAAUAUCAUAUAUCAUACUGAAUCAUAUUUUGUGGAUGUUGAAGCUGCUACUGAUUGUGAUUAUAGUGAUGUGGAGGAUGAUACUCUUUAUGAAAUGGGCAACAGUUGUGAAAUUGUUGAAUAUAAUGUUGAAGUGCUUCAACGUUAUGAACAUGAAAAAGAGAGAGUUGUGAGUGAUGGACUUGAAAAGUUUAAGGAAUUAGAAAUGGGUAUGACCUUUAAGACUAUUGAAGAACCUAGGCAGGUUGUUAGCUUUUAUGCUAUGGCUAACAAAAGAAGUUGAAAACAAAAAAAAGUGAUACAAAAAGAAUUAGGUAUGAGUGUUAUGAUGGUUGUCCCUUUUACUCUUCUCAUAUCUAAGGAUGGAAAAUCAGCAACAUUUAAGGUUAAAACAUUGAUGCCUAAGCAUACUUGUGGUGAUUCUUUUGUUAAUCCAUUGGAAACUUAUCAUACCUUGGCUGUUUAUUUUAAGGAUGAAGUUCUAAACAAUCCAAAAUACCCUAUCAAAGACAUGAGAGGAAUUCUUGAAAAAAAAUUCAAGUUGAAUGUCUUAAGAUCCAAACUAAAAAGAGCCAAAACAAUGGCUCUUGAUAAGUUGGAAGGCAGUUUCAAAGAUGACUACAAUAGGCUUGAAGCUUAUGGUCAAGAACUUAGACAAUCAAAACCAGGAUCUGAUGUGGUAAUUAAUAUCUCUAAAGAUGCACUUGAACAAGGCAUAAGAAGGUUUUUGAGAAUGUACAUUUGCUUCAAGGCUUUGAAGGAUGGAUGGAAAAGUUUGAGACCUAUAAUUGGUUUAGAUGGAACAUUUCUCAAAGGAAAAUGCAAGGGGCAACUAUUAGUAGUUGUUGGGCAAGACUCAAUGAAUCAUUUUUACCCAAUAGCUUGGGCAGUGGUGGAAAAGGAAAACACAGGAACAUGGACAUGGUUUAUUCAGUUGUUGAGGAUUUCGUUGGAGUUGAAAAAUGGUGAAAUUGUGACAUUUAUGUCUGAUAUGCAAAAGGUAGCUUUAAAUUUAUUUUUUUCUUAUUGCCUUUUCUUUAUCUUUUUUCUUACUGUCAUUUUUUUCUUUUCGAUUUUUAGGGCCUGUUCGAUGUUGUAGCUAAUGUUGUUCCAGAAGCACACCAUAGGCUUUGUGUGAGGCAUAUAGAAUCUAACUGGUGCAAGAAAUGGCGGAGUGGUGAAGAGAAAAAAUUGAUGUGGUGGUGUGCAUGGAGUACCUAUGAAGAAGAAUUCAAAGACACUUUGAAGGUGUUAGGAAAGGUGGAUGAAGAUUCAGCUAGUGAUCUUCUUCAUUUUCCUGUAAUUAAAUGGUGUAGGGCAUAUUUUGAUACUCAAUGUAAGAAUCUAAUGGUAGACAAUAACUUCACCGAGUCUUUUAACAGUUGGAUACUUGAAGCUAGAAAAAACCAAUCAUUAAAAUGUUGGAGGAAAUUAGAGUGAAGGUGAUGAAUAUGUUGGUGAAAAAUGAAAAAAUGGGCAGAAAAUGGCAAAAUGAUAUCAGUCCAACGGUUAUGAAAUUGUACAAUGACUAUCGAUUAAUGGCUACCAAUGGUACAGUUGAGUUCAAUGGAGAUUAUGGUUAUGAAGUGAAAGAUGGAGACACGGACACACAUACAGUGAAUUUGGAGUUGAAGAAAUGCAUUUGUAGAUUAUGGGACUUGGGUGGAAUACCGUGUCACCAUACCAUCAAGGCAAUUUUGCAUAAAAAAACUGAACCAUUGGAAGAGGUUCAUUACUGCUAUAAAAAGAGGCUUAUUUGUUAACAUACAAGCACAAGUUGCAACCAGUUAGGGGUUCUCAAUUCUGGAAAAUCGACCAUGCUCAAGCAAUGGAACCUCCGAAAAUGGUAAAACUUGUUGGCAGACCCAAGAUGAAAAGAAAUAAAGAAACUGAUGAGGCAAGUUUGAGAAAGGGGGCAUGGAAGCAGUCAAGAAAAGGAACUCUAAUGAGAUGCAACAAAUGUGGUGAUUUCAAUCACAAUGCUAAGGGAUGUUAUAAGGUAAUCUCUCUUAAUAUUUUCUUUUAGUUAAAAGGUGUUCAUUUUUGUCAAUCACAACAAUUUUUUUGGGUUGAAGGACCAUGAAGACGGUGAAAGUUAGCAUGAAAGAAAUAAGAAAGCAAGCAAUCAAAAGUCGAGGAGUUGAGCAAGAAAAAACUCUAUUGUAGAGUAUGAGACAGAAGCUUCACCCCAACAAUUUCAGACAAAACAGUCGACUGCCUAUGGUCCUAAGAUCGGGAAUGAUGAAGAUCCAGCAUUGCGACCAAUGGUAAUUUUUGAGACAGAAACAAGGAUGGAAAAGAGGUCUCGAAUAUUUGAAGGAAUAGGAAGCAGGAAGAUUGUUUUUUAAGGGGAUGCAAGAGGAAUCUCGACCCCUUCGGAUCUACCAUAUUCACCAAAGAAGACUACUUGAAAGGGCAAGAAAGCAGUCACAAUUGAUCAGUUACAAGCUGAAGUAAAGAAGAAAAGAGUGAAACAAAUGGCAAUGAAGGGCAAAUGGCCCGUGGAUACUAAUGAUGAUCUAGUUUAGAAGUCGUUGUGUGGUUGAUCAUUUUUUGACAUUAGGUGGUUAUUUUGGAUAGUAUUAUAUGAUGUAAAUCCAAACAAUUUCUUUUGUUGCUAACCAUAUAAUAGAUAUUUGUGGUUGGUUUAACCACCAGAAGGUUAAUCUUCUUUUGCUGGUAACUUGUGUUAAGAUAAUUUUAUAAAAAUUGAGAAUUAUAUUCUACUGCAUCUGGUGUAAUUAUUGUUGAUUGUAUUUUGUGUGAGAGAGUAAAUUUAUGUGCUUUGAUUGGUAGCGUUGUUUAAAUUACGACUAAAAUUAGCAUUGUUCACGAUCUUCUUUGAACUAGUAGAUAGCUCACAGAUGAUUCAACGUGGAAUGUCAAGGAGUCAUUGAUGAUUCUCUAUCAUUUUACCUCGAGCUUUUGAUUCUCUUUCAUUACUAAAUAAUACAAAAGUUGACAAAAUCACUACACAAGACCAAAUAAGGUGAAUCAAAAGUUGUCAUAAAUCAAUACAAUGAACCAAAAGUUAAUUACACAUAAGUCACAAAACUGCAAAUGAGAUGAAAAAGUUUAGUCGCAUAAUAUGGCCUUGGAAUCUAUCAUUUAAAUUCCCAGAAAAGAUAUGAUCCUACAAAGUACUACUAUAUUUCCAAAUUUUACAAACUUUUUGCCUCAGUGAGUGAAGAAAAGAACCCAACUAAGCAACUGAAUGUAAAAUAACUUCAAACUUUUCUCUCGAAUUUUAAGAUUUCAUAAACGCAAUGACUCCGUCCACAGUUCGUUCGCGAACACUCUGAAUAUGUGGUGUGACGGCCAAUAAAACUUCAGCAGACUCUUGAUUUUCACUUGUAGCUGCAAGAUGUAUUAGCAUGUAAUUAUCACUGACAGUAUCCCCUGCCUUUACCACACAACGAAAGAAUGAACUGCCGCAACUGCUAGCAGAGGACACAUAUUAUCAUCUCCUAUUUGAGCAUCAAAAUUAGCAUGGUGUUUUAGCAAAACCGUAAUAGCAUCUUCCUGGCUGCGGUCUACAACGCAUAUUAAUGGUGUUCCAACAUCAACAUCACUUCGCAAAUCAACGUCUACACCUAUCGGUAGAAACAAUUUAACCAAUUCAAUAUGCCCAUUUCCUGCAUCAUUAAAUGGACAAAAUAAAACACAUAAGAAUAUCACUUCAAGCAAAGAAUAUCAAGAACAAAUUUACCCUAUAACUCUAACACCAAAGGUCCUUAAAAGAAAAGGGAAGAAAGUAAUCGAAACUUACAUAAGAUUUUGAACAAUAUUGAGACUGAUUGACGCCAAUUUAGAGCUCACCGAAACCUACCAACAUUUUGAUUUUUUUUCUUGUUGAGCGUGGAGAGUGGAGACCAUAGAAUUAAAUGGGUUAAAGUUUAUUUAAGUGGGUGGGGUUUUCUUGUUUUCAAUUGGGUCGGGUUGGUGAAAAGUUAUUGGGUGGGGUAUUUUAAGAGCGAUGUGGCAUUUUCUCAAAUUAAAGCAUAAAAAAAUGAAAUUUAAUUUAUUAAAUAUUGGUCUGUUAAAUAAAAGGGCAUAUAUGGGCCAUUUCUAUAACGGCAGGGACAUAUAUGAGCCAUUUUUUAAACGGAGGGUAUAUCAGCUCCAAAUCAUAAAGUUGAGGGGUAAAUCAGGCCCUUUUCCCAUAUAAGUAUGUUUCUUACAUACAAGAGAUUGAUGAUUUUAAUUCCAUUGAAAGCUACUUAGUAGAAUUUUCCAAAUCAAAGAGAGAGAAAUAUUAAGAUCCAAGUAGGAAUUUCUCUAUUCCUAGUUCGAUUCAAUUAACCAAGCAUAAAUAUCUCUUAAUAUACAAGAGAAGUUUAGACUCUAAAAGUCAAAUCAACAAAAUAUUGAUGGGCUAACACAUGAAAAACUACUGAGAAAAUCGCCUAAUUCCUGUAAAUUGUCCCUUAAAUACCCAAAAUGGACUCUAAAAAUUGUUAGAAUGUACGUAUUGCUCCCCCAACUCCCUACUGAGGGUUUUGUAAAGAUUUCGAUUAGAAAUCGUCCAUAAGUCAUAUCACUAAUAUAUUAAUGGUUAACACACACGACAAACUGAGAAAAUUAUCUAAUUUCUUUAAAUUGGCCCCUAAAUGCCUAAAAUGGACUCUAAAAGUUGUGAGACUGUACAUACUGCUCCCCCGACUCCCUACAGAGGGUUUCGUAAAUGUGUAGCAAAGAAAUCGUCUGAAAGUCAUAUCACUGAAAUAUUAAUGGGCUAACACAUACAAAACACUGAGAAAGUCGCCUAAUUCCUGUAAAUUGGAAUUCUAAAAUUGUGAGACUAUACGUAUUGCUCCAUUAACUCUCUAUGGAGGGUUCCGUAAAGAUUUCACAAAGAAAUUAUUCGAAAGACUUAUCACCAAAAUAUUCAUGGGCUAAUACAGACGAAUUGAGAAGAUCACCUAUUUCCUAUAAAUUAGCCGUGGGAUACCUAAAAUGGACUCUAAAAAUUGUGAGACUAACUCCCUACGAAGGGUUCCAUAUAAGUUUCGCAAAAGAAAUCAUUCAGAAAUCAUAUCACCAAAAUAUUUAUGGAUUAACACACACGAAAAAUUGAAAAAAUCGCCUAAUUCUUUUAAAUUGGCCCCUUAAUCCCUUUACGAGAUUAAUUAGAGAUGCGCGAGCGCGCGCACACACACACAUACACACACAUAUAUAUAUAUAAAGAAGAGAAGCUAGUUGUAGGGUUUGAUUGCCAUAAAAUACUUAGACAAUGUGGGUGACGCACAUUGUGAAUCUCAUGAAUUGACUCGUGGAUCAUUGUGAUAUUGGCCCAUGAAACUUAGUCUUAGGGAAAGAUUGUUGGGUGUGAGAUUGAAUUUCCACAUUUGAGAAGCUAUAUAUAAGGUGUAGGAUCUCUUAAGGGAAAAUUUCAUGUAUGGAAAACGUAUUUAAUGAAAUAACGCUCUAUAGGUAUAGUUUAGUAAUUACAUUCAAUGGGUAGUUUAGUUUGCUAUGAAGCAUUAAUUUUGUAUAUAAUGUUUUUUUUAAAAAUAAUUUAUACAAUAUUUUUUUUAAUAAAUGGAUACAUGAGCGCUAAAUACAGUAACAAAAAAUUUACAUAAUCCCAUGAUUCAAGCUAAUCGUUCAAAAUCAAAUAUUUUUCCAAAAAAGAGUUCUAUAGCAAUAGAAACACCAUAACAGCUGGUUUCCUCAAACGACUGAAGCAUACGAUUAAUCAAUAUUCUUGUAUAUUCAACACCAGGUAAGCGUUUCUUUCAAGGAAACUUCAUGUUUUGAACGGCAAGAAAGUAUACAAUUGAUUUGUAUAGUAUAUAAUUGAAAUUUUGGAAAACGGAUUAUUUUUGUUUUGUUCAUUCUAAUGGUUCGCAAUAAUUUAAUUUUGUUUAUACAAUAUUAGAUAAAUUUUAUAUUAACAAUUCAAUUCUAAUUUUUUGUUCAAAAAAUUGAAUGACACAAUUUGUAUAUAUGAAGUGUAUAUGAUUCGACAACAAUGGUGUGCUUUAAUUUGCUAAUUUUUGUUGUUGUUGUUGUUGUAAUUUUACUGUAUAAAUAAGUUAUACGAUUUGUAUAUUGUUUAAUUGGUAAUAUUGUAUAUAUGUAAGUAAUUGUAUACAAUUAUUAUACCAUAAAUAAGUGUAAGUAGUUGUAUAAAAUUACUAUGACAAUUAUAUAUAUGAAUUGUAUAUGAUUCAAUAAAAAAGGUGUGCUUUAAUUUGAUAAUUUUUGGUGUAACCUAAUGUUGACACCCAUUUUUGGACCUCCACAAUAUAUAUUAAUUCUCGAGCUUCUUAGAUUUCAAAUGAUUUGGAGUUAUUAGUUUAUAAAAUUUAAAUAUUUUUUAAAAAGAUUUUUGAAGCGAUUUAGUCGGCUUUAUAAUAUUUUAGAUAAUAGAUGGAUUUUACAUAAUUACUUAUAUAAUCAACGUGUAUUAUUAGCAUUUGGAAAUCAUCUUGAAAUAUUUUGCAUUUUUUAAAAUUAACUAUGUUAUUAAUUUAGUUUAGUAUAAAUUAAAGUUAUGAUUCUGAGUUAUUUGAAUUAGUUAGUUUAUAAUUAAAUUGUUUAUUUUAUUUUUGUUAAGAUUAAGAAGCUUGUUAAUUAAUUAAUAACAAUUCAUCUUAUUUAGACUUUGGCCGAAUUCACCAAUUAAUCCCAAUUUGGCUAAGUUUUAACUCUGAAUGGUUAUAAUCGUAAUCCAUUUAGCCCUUCUUGAUAUUGCAAUUUUAACCAUUCUCUAACCUUACCUCUAGCUUAUUUAAAUAAUCACCAAGGGGCUUUUAUCCUUGAUUACAUUUUCAGCAACACCCAAGCCCAUUUUUCCAUCAGCGUACAAUUAUUUCCAGCCAAUAAACUCCAGCAGUCCAUACCCACCCUCCAAUUCCCAUUACAGCAUACAACAAUUCCCAGUGAUUCAAACAUACACGUAGAGCAGCACCAACCGACCCCAUCCCCUUUAUUUCGCUCAUCUCCUCGUCCGUUUCAAAGUAAUAUUCUGGUGUUUGGAAGCAUCUGUUCUGUGAUUGUUCGUUGUUAUUUUUCAUAGGAUUGAUGAUGUUUUUAACGUAUUAAAUGUACACUUAAUUGUUUCCAUCAGUUAGUCCUAAUAUGGGGUCAAGUUCCGGAGAGCCAUUAAAGUUUUAUUUUGUUGUAUUUCUUUUCUUGAGCCUGCUCCUCGAACAUCGUCGAAUCUAUGUUCUUUUCGCUUUAGCAUCUUGAAUAUUGAAAGUUCCAUUCACUUUAUUACUGCUAAUGUUCUCUGUUCUUCCUUUGAGAUGAGGAAAAAUCUUCCGUACAAAUUGUAUGUUGUUGUAGCUGCUGUUCGGUAGGCAUAAGUGGUUAUUUUCUUCUUGAUUAAAUUUCAUGGCCGUCCUAUUUUGCAUUGCGAAUGUGUAACUGUUUAUUUGGUUUUUAUUCCUCCUCAUUUUCAGCAUAUUUCCAUAAUUUUGGUUGAGUGUAUUGCUUAUUCUAACUUGAAGCUAAAUGUUUAUAAUAAUUUCGUUGGUUGUCUGCUUAAAUGUGGGCUGAAUAUCAAUACUAUUCUUUCUAAAUGUUAAGUUAUACUCGUUCUUUUUGGUUUUUUUUCUUCCGAGGAUUUGCUUUCGACUAUAGUUCUGUUUCUUUUGUGCGUGUGUUUGGAGGUCGGCAUUUGGUUUUAUGCCAGCCUAGUUUUACAUAUCUCUUUUCACUUUCAUGGAAACCUUUGAUGUUAUAGCUCUACUUGUCGGAUUAGGUUUAAAAAAAUGAAAUGCAUCUUUGUUCUUCUCAAAUUUGUUCCAUGUUUUCUUGGUUUUUUAAAAAAAAUGGUAUAGCUGAUUAAAAUAGCAUUAGUUUAGCUCGAGAUUUCCUUAAUACCGUGUUGCUAUUUAUUCUAUCUCGCAUCUUAUAACUCGAUAUUAUUUGUCUUGGGUUCUUUGUGGCUUUUAUUUCGAAAGUUUUGCCUUGCUAUCGUGUCAAUUUUCGUGCUUGUUGUUUGUAGCUGCUUGAGAAAAUAUGAAUGACCACUUUAUAAAAAAAAAAAAAAAAGGAGUUAGAAUCAACAAUGGGUUGCUGUUUGAAUAAUUGACCUUCAGCUUAUUUUGCUCAAAUGUUAAGUCACGUAUGUUCCCAAACACGGUUCGUAUACAAUGGUACACGUGAUGUGUAUACACAGAUUUCUUGAAGGAAAAUGGGGGGCAAAAGCCCAAGGAAAUUUCAGCAAGUCCAAGAUUUGGGCCUAAUUUGAUAUUCCUCUCCUUGCUCUUAUUUAUUUUGUUAUAUUUGACUAACGUUUUGAUUAUCUUAUGAUUUAAUCUAAUUAAAUUUUCCAAGAAUGGUCAUUUCAUUUUAUUUUUCGAAUUAAAGUAUAUAUAUUUUAUUACUUAGUUUUUAUUUUAAUAUUUGUCUUGUUGACAUUUUAUGAACUAUUUCCCUUUAGAAAAUUCUCCUUUAGUUCAUUCCCCCUUAAGAUAAAUAAAAUGAUAAAAAUAAUAGUAAUAAAUAAAUGAGUUCAUUUACUUAGCUAAAUUUUUUUUUAAAUAAGUUAAAAUAAAUGAGUUCUUUUACUUAGUUAAAAUUUCAAAAAUUAGUCAAAGUCGUUAUGAGCUCUUUUAUACUUAGUUAAAAUUUCAAAAGUUAGUCAAAGUCAUUUUUAGUCAAAUCGUCGGUCAACCGCAAGUUAGCGGACAUUUUGAGGGCCUAACACCUUCUCGGAAUGUACAUUGAACUCGAACCCUUUUUCAAUUGAUUUUAUCUGUUUGAGUAUUUUGAAAAUCUUAAGUUUUUUCUUGAGUUUUACUAAAAAAAUUAAGUGGCGACUCUAUUCUUUUGGAAAUCGAUUUCUCUUAAACUACAAGUUUAAUCGAUUUUUUCGAAAUCCUAGUCAUUUUUCUUUUAUAUAUAUUUUCGAGUAAAACACCUAACUGUAUAUAUAAUAAUGUAAGGUUUGUAUAUUGUUUAAUUCAUACUAUUGUAUAUAACUUACAAAAUAUACAAAUAUAUAUAUAUAAUACAAUUAUGAUUUAAGCAAAAAAUAUACAUAUACUUCAAGCAAUUUUGUAUAUAACUAACAAAAUAUACAAAUAUCUAAAUACAAUUGUGAUUUAAGCAGAAAAUAUACAUAUAUUUCAAACAAUUUUGUAUAUAACUAACAAAAUAUACAAAUAUCUACAUACAAUUGUGUUUUAAGCAAAUAUUUGAUGUUCUUGAUCUAAUGAAGGAGACACAACCUCCUCAGAAUCACUAUCUUUGGCUUUCCUCGUACUUCCUCCUUCAACAACUUUAAUGUCGCUUGCCUUAACAUUGUUGAUGACUUCUGGGAGUGCAAUUGGGUCAUUUUUUUUCUUGGAUCUCAAUUCUUCAAUAGAUUUUUCCUGUAGAAUUUGUUUAGAUUUUUCCAUAGACCCUGCAUUGACUCCAAAAUCUUGAGUUAAACCGAGUGAAAAUGAAGGUUGAUUAUUAAAAACUUUGACAUGCAAUGACGUACCUCUCGCAAUCCUCUUAGAUGGAGUCGAAUCAUCCAUUUUAUUUUUUGUAAAAAUGAUAUAUAAUAAGUAAUGAGGGAAUUUUGAGAAAAAAUUAUCCAAACACUAACAUGCACAAUACAUAUACAAUUGAAAAAUGAAAAAGAAAAAAAGAAAAGAGGUUCACCUACGAUUUAUGCGGUUACCUGCAAAAAGUAAAACACGAUUGGAGGGAGAAAGUGAAAUUCGAAUUUCAAAUUGAUUUUAGGAGAAAAACAGGAAAUGAGGAGAGGAGAGGAGAGGAGAGGAGAGGAGAGAUAAAUUUAAUUUUGUAUAAAAUCAUAUACAAAGACCGAUGAAGGCUUUGUUGAUUCGGUAUACAAAGUGGUGGUGGGUCUCAUUAUUAAUGGCGAAAAAACUGAAAUUGUAUUUACUAACAGUAAAUAAAUUAAAUUAUACCCUCAAUGACUAAUAGCCUAGUAAUAUUUGCCAACUCACUUAAUUUUUCCAUAAUGUGUGAGACUUUUUGAAAGAAAAAAAAAUUGUGCUAACUUGGUUAAAGUGAACAAUUAUCAUACUCUAUUUAGAAUAUCUUUGGGCUAAUUUAUCCGAACAAAAACAAAUAAGUCCCCAAUCUAAGACCAUUAGCCGUUACUUGAAGACAAGACAUUCAUCAUUUGAACUAUUGAAUUAUGGACACAAGUCAAAGAAUCUUCCAACUAUUCAAGAAGUGUAAUUAAUACUUAAUAAAUAUAAUGUCAUCCUCAAUAACUUCAAAUAAUAUCCAAUAAUCAAUAUUAAAUUUUGAUAUUAAUAGAAAUAGUUAAUGAACCCCAAGUUGUAUAAUUUGAUUGUUGGGAUAAAAGAUAAAAGUCAAUCAAAAAUUUAAUUUUUUUAAGAAAUAAUCUUUUAAUUGUGAUUCAAUAAUGUAAUAACACAAGCAAUUACAAUACAUAUAAAUUUGCCAUGUCAGCAUAUGGUGUUCAUGAGUGCGUGUAUGACAAUAGUAAAAGUAUCUAUUUGGUCUUUUAGAUAAAUUUCAGUAUCUAAAUUACAAUUUUUGUCAAAUUUGAGGGAUUAUCUAGAUAUUUAGAUAAAAUUAUUUAUAUAUAAUUAUCUCUAAAUAGGCUCAUAAGCCAGUAAAUGAUACUUUAUAAAUAACUUCAGUUGUAAGUGUUUCUCUUACAAAUUCAAAUUAAUCCAAUGACAAAACCUUUUUAUGAUUUGACUGAAGAGGUUUCUGUGUUGCUGGUAUAUCAAGAUGAGGAAUUGGUUUCUAGUAAAUCAAAUGGUUGAUUUACUAGAGUUCAAUGGAUACAAAGGUGAUAUAUCUAGAACUAAUUUCUAUAUGACUUUCAUUAUAUAGAGAGAGAAUUAAUUGAUACGAUGUUUAUUUAGAACUUUUCCUUUCCUUGUUAUCAUAACAUUAUUUCUAUGCUUGUGUAUGUUGUGUUACAAGUUAAUAAAUGAAUUUGUAUGAUUAUAAGGAAUUAAAUUAGAUUCUUCAUUUUUGUUUUUGUUGUAACCAUGUCACUGACUCGAUUAGCUUUCUCCAUAAGGAUUGUGUAAUUUUUCAAAGAGGUUCAAUAAUUUUAUGUUAAAGUAUGUGUUGUUCUAAUUUUAUCGGAUAUUUUUCCAUAAAGGAGAUAGUUUAAGUUUAUGUUAAUAUUAAUUAUUUCACACUUGACUUUUUUGUACAAAAAAUAAAAAGGAAACUUAUUCUUUGUCAAUCGGGCCUAGAGUGACAUCGUGUUGGAGGAGAAAAUAAUUAGGACCCUCAUAAAUAAUUUUGAAAUCAUAGAUCUUUGAUUUUUACAAAUCUAUAUAUUGUUUUAGAAAGAAAACACAUUCACUUGGAUGAUUGAGGCACAAAAUAAGAGUAAGAGAUUGAAGAGAAGAGCGAGAUAAAGACAUGAUAAGAGAUGAUUUGGCUAUCAUUAUUGUCUGAGAUGACUUUUUUUUGUCUUUUAUUCAAUGUAGACAAACAAAUAAAUAGGGACAUGUGAUUUUCAUGAUUUUUUUCUUCUAUUUUUUUUUUUUGUCUUUUAUUAGAUGUAGACAAGAAAAGAAAUUUUUUUCAUGUGACUUUUCCUCAUUUAUUUUUGUUUCAUUUUCAAUUACUUUGUUAGUAUUUAAUAUCGAUUGUUCCUUAUUCAAGCUAUGUUAAAUAUUUUUAACAUAAUUUUUUUGGUAACUCCUUUCUAAUAAUUUGUUAAAUCUUCUAAACUCUCGUUACUUAUUUAUGAAAUAAAAUUACCUUAAAACUUUUUACAUAAAUUUAUCUUAAAACUUUUUAUCCUAUUAUAUCUUGCUUUAAUAGUAUUUAAUCUAUAUAUAUAUUCAGUGUUUAUUUGUUUUCAACAAGUCAAAGAAUAAAUUAGAAUAUAUUCUUUAGAAUUAUAUUCCUAUAGAAUCUUCUCUAUUAUAUAUUCCUACAGUUAUUUACUGUAAAGUAAUAUUAUAUAUUAGUAAGAUUGCACACACCGUUUACGAUAUAAGUUGAUUAAUAUGUGUUAUUUCAUAAAUUAAAGUAUAGCAACAUAAUAUGAAAUUUCAUAAUUGAAUUUGAAUGAGAAAUUAAAUAAACAUAUCCAAAUGAUAAUUUUGUGUAUAAUAUUUUUUUCAUGUUCUUCACUAACUUUAAAGUGUAUGGAUAUAUACAGUUACGACAGCUACAACUCCUGCAGCAAUGUCAAUGCUCUCCAAAGAAAAGAAAAAAAUUGACAUGAUGAUAAUCGAUGUCAAUUCAUCAGAUUUACAUUGUUUUGAACUCUUGACACAAGCUGUAACCUUAAAUAUAAUCUCUCUUGGUAAGUAUUUAUAAUUCUAUUUUUCACUUCUUGUUAUAAAUAUUGGGUAAAAUCAGUUGUUUCAAUUAAUACACCACAAAAAUAUAAUUAGCUAUAAAAUUUAUCGUUAAUCUAUUGUCAAGAGACGACAUCUAUCCAUUGGUAAUCUUGUUUUUAGUUAUAGUUAUAUGAUAAAUGAUUGUUUCGUAACAAAGUUGUUGUCGUAACAGAUAAAAUUCAGUAAAUAUAUGUGUGAAAUUAACUAUUCUCAUAAUGUAUGAUAUAUUUUUAUUUUUAUUUUUAACUUCUCAAUAUAAUUAUGUAGUUGUAUGUGAUGAACUCAAUAGACUCUUAGCCAAGAACGCUUUGGAAAAUGGAGCUUAUUUUGCUUGAAAAAGCCAUUCAACAAGGAAAUUGUGAAAUACUUAUGGCAACUUGUAUUGAGAGAAAAAAUACAAAGGGAGAAAUCGAAAAAAGGUUUAGAAGCAAAUGGACGAAAUCAUAUGAAUGCUGAUGAAAUUUAUGAUAGUAAUAUUGUAAGAGAUGAACAAUUUGGAGAGAAGAAUAUGCAUGUUGAUACUGAGGAACAUAACAAUAAUAUCCAUAAGGCUGAAAAUGAUGGCGUAUCAACUGGUAAAUACAAGUUGAAGAGGAAGAGAGGGAGAAAAGGUAUAAAACAGAUUAAUGAAGGAGAAAGUCGUAGCAGUACUGUUAUUAAUAAGACUGGUACACGUAAAUGACUUGUAUCAUGCAUUUUAAACAUACAUAAAUGACAAUGAAUUUGAGAUAAUAAUUAUAUCCAUAGUCCAACUCUCCUUUGAGUUUUUCUUUCUUUCAGAAAUGUCGUGAAAACAAUUGGAGACCUCGAAAAGAGAGAAAGAAUAUUCAUCACGGAUCCUCAAGUGAUUCUCAACAAAGAAGUAGUUGUAACACAUCAUUAGAAAGAAAAAAAAGGAGCUGCAAAAAACUUGGAAAAAUGCCUCAUCUUCAAACAAAUAUACCAAAUCAAAUACAAAGAGUCUCAGAGUUCCCACCAGUUAAUACCAACAACAUUUUUGCUAUUUCAACUCAGCAGCAACUCCAUCACCCACAACUUCAGGCUCAACCUCACUGCCUAAACCCAUCUUUGUCAGCCCAAAAUGAUGUUGGUGGUCAACUACAACAACACAGUCUGUUAUUUGGAAUGCGGGUCCAAUUAUUGGAAGCACUCAAAAUGGUUAUGGCUUGGAUCUCAAUCCUACCCAUGUAACAACAUAUUCAGGUAGCACAAUGAUAACUAAUACAAAUGUUGGAAAUGUGACACUUAAUGGAUUGGGAGCUACAAAUGCUAAUUUUCAGCAAGAUAUUGGUGAACAAAACAUGUUUGAUCCAAGUUCUUGCUCUCGUAAUAUUUGUAUCUUAACUUAUCGAAUGCAUUUAUGUAUCUUCCUGUAUUGCAAAAGCUAUAAUUGGGAAAAUAUUUUCAUCUUUUGAUGAGAAAUUUCUUAACCUUUACUCAUUUCUUCGUUUCCUUAUUAUGUAUUGAAUGUUUAAGAUUGUAGUAUAUUAUUACAUACUUAAAUCUUGUUUAUGAAAUUUUUUAAUGAUUAAUGUUUGGAUUAUAAAUCUCUUGUUUUGCUUAUGUAUUGAAUGAUUUUUAUUUUUAAUGAAGUGAGUCAAAUUGUUUCUUUAAUUAUUCUUGUGUUUUAAUAUUUCUAAAAGGAGCGACUAAUCCUAGGACUUGCUCAGUUACUUUGAUUUGAGCUCGAGAGAGUGAAAAAAGAAUAAGAAGAGAGAUUGGAAAAGAUUAAUUAACAAAAAUUGUGGUACUAAUUUGGGUAUUAAUAAACAAAUCCUUACUUGAUCGCAUAUGUGUUGUUCUGUGUGAAAUUUGCCUCUGACUUAUAGUUGACUAAAUUAUAUUGCAUAUGUUCGUGUACAUUUUCUCACUUGGAAGAGUGGAUUUGGAUGUUAUUAACCAUCACCAUCGUUUAGGUAGAAAAAGAAAAUAACUAAUAGUUUAAUGUUUUAAUACAUAAAUGAUCAACUAAUAUGAGACGGAAAGAGUAGCGUAAAUGUAAGAUUCACUUCUCACCAAGAAUCCUCCUUUCUUAUUAUUUUCCUUUUAGAGGUUAAUAAUUAUUAUGUAUCCCUAGAAUAAUUUAUUGAAAUAGUAGAUUUGAAAGAAAGCAAUUAUUCUCUUCUUCCUAUGCGGGACUUUUAGAACAAAACUAAUUUGACAAAAACCACAAUUUAUUGAUUUUUAGGUGGAAUUAUAUCAAUAAGGAACUAUGCUUAUAAUAUUAAUCUAAGAUCAUUAGGGGUCGUUUGGUAGAGUGUAUGAGGUAAAAUAAUGCAUGCAUUAGGUGUGUGUAUUAGUAAUACCUUGUUUGGUACACUUUUUCAUGUCAUGUAUAACUAAUGCAAGCAUUAGUUAUACACUAUAUUGUGUAUUACUAAUACCAAGAAAUCCUAGAUAUUAGUAAUACAUAGCGUUUUAAUACUUGCAUUAGAUUAUACAAUUACAAAACUACCCUCAAAGCCUUUUAAAAAAACAUCUUCAUUUUCCAUGGUACUGUGUUUAGAAACCUUUCAUCUUCUAUGUGGCUGCUAACACUACAAGAAAAGUGUGAAUUACAUGAGGAUUUUCCUGGGGAUUAGUAUGAAAAUCCGUAGGAAACUUAUUUUUCUGCAAAUUUUCAUACUAAUCCCCAGGGAAAUCCCCAUGUAAUUCACAUUUUUCUUGUAGUGUAAACCUUUAAAAAAAAACAUCUCCGUUAUUUAUAAAUUUGAUUGUUGUAAUACUUUUUUGUAUUUCAAUUGCACUAAAAAAUAGGAUCUGUGGCUGCUAAAGCAUAUGCCCAGACUCCUAAUAUAUAUAAAGUGCAUAUACUGAUUUUAAUAGGGUACCGCUUUGCAGUUAGGAAUUAUCUCAGGUCUAUGCUGCCUGUAUCUCCCUUACAUUCCAUCAGUUUUUAUUUUUUAUUUUUGGACUCGUUUUAUCUCAAAAUAUAUAUAAAGCACUACUAAUGCAUGCAUUACUAACACACCCUAUUUUACAUUAUUCUUAUACACUCUGCCAAACGAUCCCUAUUGUUACUUGAACACAUGGAUUCAUCAUCUGAACAAUUGAAACAAUUAAUACUUGUGUGAACCUCUUGUUAUUUCGAGUGAUGUGUCAGAAUCUUUAGCCAACUAAGACUAGCGUUAAAUUUUUGGCAAGUCUCAAGAAGUGUAAUUAAUACUUAAUAAAAUAAUCUCAUCCUUGAGAUUCAAGAACUUGUUUGGUCUGAAUAGGUUUUAAUCAUUAAGAUCUAGAACAAAGUCUUAAUAUUAGUAAGAGGUAUUUUUGUGUGAAUAGUUUUCUUUGAGGUUCGAGAAAUGGAAUAGAUAUGGACUACAAGUUGAUAUUCGCCAUUAGGAAAUUCACACGAAAAGGAACGAGGAAUUCUCAAUGAAAAAAGCGCUCUCUAAAUCUGUUUAGUAUUUGCCAUGAGGUUCUUACCAUAAUUGAAUUUUCCUUUUAGGAAAAGGUAAACACAGUCUCCAUAUUUGUCUAGUUCUUUUUCUUGUACGAAAAAAAUUAUGACUCUAUAAAUAGAUGUUUAUUCAUUCUAGCUUGGUAGCAUUCAUAAUGUAGUCUUAGGGGGCUUUGAGAGUUUUGUGUAUUGUGUGAAGCUAGGGGAAGAAUGUGUGAGACACAAGUAUUACUUUAACACUUGUGUGAACCUCUUUGUAUUCCGAGUGAAUUGUGUGAGGUCAUUCUUCUCUAGAUUUUGAACUUUCUUUUAUAUAGUGAUUUUUUCAUCUCCUCUUGUGGAUGUAGACCGGUUGACCGAACCACGAUAAAUGUUUGUGUCUUUUUGUAUAUUUCUCGUUUGUCUUAUUACUCAUCGUCUUUCGAGGUUUGCUUUGCUAACUUUUGCAUGACACCUAAUUAUUUCAGUCCCAACAAGUGAUAUCAGAGUCAAGUUCAAUGGUUUAAUGAUCCAAUGGUUGAACCAGGUCAAAAAUAAGUGUUCAUCUUGACGGGUUUAGUUCUACCAUAACAUAUUUGAUAGUAAUGAAGAUUUUUGUUGGAGAAAUAUUUUCAAAGAUGUUUUUUGUGUUGAGAUAUAUAUAUAUAUAUAGAGAGAGAGAGAGAGAGAGAGAGAGAGAGAGAGAGAGAGAGAGGGAGAUAUUUUGCAGAGGAGAUGCAUAGUUAUUGAAGAUUAUGUGAAGAAGGUGGAACAAAUUUAUUUUGUCAGAAAUUUAGGCCAAUGGAGAUAUUUGUUUAGUAUUUGUCAUGAGUUUCUUACCAUAAUUGAGUUUUUUUCUUUUAGAAAAAGGAAAACACAAAGUUUCCAUAUUUGGCUAGUUCUUUUUCUUGUAGGAAAAUGUUUAUGACUCUAAAAUUAUAUGUGUAUUCCUUCUAGCCUAAUAGCAUUCACAAUGUAGUCCUAGGGGGCUUAGAGAGUUUUGUGUAUUGCGUGUAGCUAGGGGAGAAUGUGUGAGACACAAGUGUUACUUUAACACUUCCGUAAACCUCUUUGUUUUUACAUUGAAUUGUGUGGGGUUAUUCCUCUCUAUAUUUUGUACUUUCUUUUAUAUAGUGAAUUGCUCAUAUCCUCUUUUGGAUGUAGGUCGGUUGUUCAAACGACGUUAAAUAUUUGUGUCUUUUGGUAUAUUUUUUGUUUGUUUUAUUACUCACAGUCUUUCAAAGUUUGCUUUGCUAGCUUUUGCAUGAUACCUAAUUAUUUCAGUCCCAACAAAACCAAACGUGAAAGUUGUUUUCCAGCAGGCAACUUUUCUAGUAGCUCUACUCUCGACUUGGAUAAUAUAUCCAAAAAGGUACGCUUUCGGUCAUUCCACAUGCUGCCUAUGUAGAGACAUGUUUAUCUAAAGUGGAUUCUCUUUUUUGCAGUAGGUAUUGAACCUGUUAUGCCCAUUGACUAAGAAGCUAGGGGUGGACACAACAACUACAUGGACCUCUUCCUUUCAUUGGCCAUCACCAUUAGUCGUCUUUGUUAUCACAAUGACCACCACCAUUACCGUCAUCAAAUAUCUCUGUCAUCACAAUUACCAUUCUUAUCAACCACUACUAUAUAUCAAGCAUUUGCUAUAUUUAUGUUUUUUAUCGACAUAAACAAUGGGUUAACAUGAUAUAAUUUAUUAGUAGUUUUAUAUAUUUUUCCCAUAAUAAAGGAAACAAUCACUUAUACAUUCUUUGAGAUCAUUUAGUGUAAAAUCAGGAGUGGAAUCAUAACUAGGGUUAUAGCUUAGGAUCAAUUCACCUUCUUAAUUAAUGGGAUAAUUUACUUAGCUAAAUUUGAGUGAAAAGAAGAAGAAAUUAAUUAAUUUAAUUCGUUUACGUUCCAAUGGGGUGUGCAAUACCCAUAAAUUUGUCAUGUCGUUAUUAGGUGUUCAUGAGAUGCAUAUAUUUCAAGCAAAAGUGUCUAUCUGAUUACUAGACAAGUUUAGCCGUCCAAUUUACAAAUUCUGCCAAAUUUGAGGGACUAUCUAGAUAUUAUUAAGAAAAUCUAUCUUAUUUAAUAUAAUAUUUAAAAUAGAUAACUUUGUAAUUAGUGUUCGCUAGAUCUUCAUAUUUUCUCCAACCAUUAUAAAUUCUCAGUGCUCUCUCUAUAUAAAUUCAUCAGGAUAAAAAUAAACAAGACAAGAUAUCAUACAUAAAAAAUAUCCAAAAGAGUUUUCUUUAAAUAUGUGUAAUCUUUUUUAAAUAGCAUAUCCCUUAAGAAGCUAUGUAGUUUUAUCACAAUGUCCUUCUUUAAUUGUUUUUCUUUAAUUAAUAAAAAGGUGUGUUAUAUAUAUCUUCAAUUGAUGAUAAGCCCACUUAUAUACAAAUAAAGUAAUGCAAGUGAAACUCUGUAAAGAAUCCUAUGAAGGUUCUAGCAGAGAAAUUAUAUUUAAAAAGGAGGGUAAUAGCUAAUGUGAAACAAUUAGGGUUGUAAAAUAAAAAAUAAAUCAAAAUAAUAAUAAUUAGGGUUGCAAAGCAACACCCUCUAUUAUUGAAGUUGAAGUUGUAAUUCGUAGGAUUAUUAUAUAAUUGUAAUAAUGCCUAGCUUUUUGUAACAAGAAGAGAAGUGUAUCAUCAUUUGGAGAGUUGUUAGAACAAUUAUAGUUAACAUUUGAGUUAAAGUACUAAAAUUAAUCUCUUAAAUUAUAAAGGUGUAAUUUGAAAUCAUUCGUUGAAGUUAGUAUAGAUUGAUUGAUAAGGAGUUGUUUAUAGUCUUUUGAGCAAAGAUAUUUUCAUUGUAAGCCCUUUCUUACUUAAUUAGCACUCCUUCGUUACUUUUUACUUAGUAGGACAUACGAAUUGAGGUUAGCUUAUCGCAAUCUAGUAUAUACAUUCAAUUAUUAGAAAAUAAAAUAAUAAUAAUAAAAUUAUUAUUAAAUUUAAGUUUUACUGUCUGGAUUUAUCAUGACACAUAUAAUGUCCACUUGGGCAAAUUUAUUAUUUAAAACACAAUAAUAAUAAUAUAUUCAAUGUAAUUUCAUAAUUGACAUUUGAGAAGAAAAAAUAUAUAUGCUAACCCUUGAUUAAAAAAUUAAAAUUAACCAACCAAAACUAAAAUAAAUAUUUAUAUAAGGUUGUGUAGUGAGAACAAUUAGAUAUACUGGUUUUAAUUCAACUAUGCAUUAAAAAGAACAAUAAGUUGCUGUGGUGUAGUGGUUAUCACGUUAGUCUUACACACUAAAGGUCCCCAGUUCGAUCCUGGGCAGCAACAUAUAUGUAAAAAGUUUUACUUUUUUUUUGAUAUGUCGACGAAAACGUGUUUAUCCUUUUAUUUGUCGGCGGCAUGUCGACGAAAACGUGUUUCUCCUCUUUAUUGUUUUCACCAUGACCUCUUCACUACUAUAUUUACAUUACAUGCUUGUUCUAUCGGAAACAACUCUACCUUCACAAGGUAGGGUAAGACUGCAUAAACGUCACCCUCCCCAUAGUACGUAAAAAGAAUAUGAGACAGCUGCAGGAUCAUGGAAAGAUCAAAUUUUCUCUUUAUUUCAUUAUUGCAAUUACUCCAUGUCAAAAUCCAAAUACAUUCUAUAGGCAUUUCUAUCUGAAGAGUAAUAGCCCUCCACAAGAGUAUCCACUUGGAAACCGAGUUUCUUGUAUAGCUGCAUAGCUGCAGUCCUUGUAGGAUCUACAUGAAGCGAUAUCCGAUGAACGUUUCUUGUUCUGCAUUUCUGCACUGCUGCCUCCAGUAAUUUUUCUCCAUGGCCUUGUCCCCUGUAGUUCUCUUUCACUGAUGUAUUCCACAGGAACGAUGCAUCAGUAAACAAAACGAAAAAUUUUAAAUGACAAAAGAUAAGGAAUAUUGUAAAUGAAUCUCUUAACCCCUCGUUUUUCAACUUGUGUUGAUUCGCUCAGGCCAGAGAACAACAAGAGAGAGACAGGCAUAAACAUCACGAUGAAAAACUCAUAACCACAUAGAGAACGAAAGCAAUUCUUUUGAAAAAUAAACAUCACAUGAAAGAUGGUUCUCUCUUCUAUGUAAUGACGGACAAUGCUUCACUGACUUAUCGGGAAUAUUUACUAAUAAUAUCAAUUCACCUUCUGCCUUUCCCUAUUGCGAUUCAAUAUGAUGACGAUCAGAGAAAGAUAUAACUAAACUCUCCUGCAAAAUUCCUUUAAAACAACUGCUAGCUAUUUCAAGGUUCGUUGUUUCCGCAAUAGUAACAUAUCAGCUUUGCUCGGAGGGGAAAACUACAUAACACCACUCUAAUUUAGAAAUGCUGCACUUUCAUCCAAUCCAGCUACAGAGAAAAACGUUGAAAGAGCAGAAGCAAUUUCUCCUACCUCUCUAUUCAUAGAGAUCAAAACUUGUUCGGCAAAUGCAUUCAUGCAUAUUCUUCUUUAAAAGACAACUUUUUGUAGAUGAACUGCUCCCAAAUAAGUAUUUUUAUCUUUUGAAUGCUCAAGUUAUAGUCACAUUCACACUCUUGACUGCUCUUUUUCCUACGAAAACAUUAUCAAAGAGUCACAUUUGAGUUCCUCACGAUUAUAACCUCGUAUAUUAAAUCAAAUUGGUCCUAGUCACAUUCGGAAAUAGUCUCUCUACUUUCACAACUAGGGAUAAGACCGCGUACAGACUAACCUCUCCAAACCCCACUUGUCUACGCGGUCCUAGUCACACUCACAUUGGGAAAUUGUCUCUCUACUUUCACAGGUAGGGAUAAGACUGCGUACACACUACCCUCUCCAGACCCCACUUGUCUACACAGUCCUAGUCACACUCACAUUGGGAAAUAGUCUCUCUACUUUCACAGGUAGGGAUAAGACUGCGUACACACUACCCUCUCCAGACCUUACUUGUCUACGCAGUCCUAAUCACACUCACAUUGGGAAAUAGUCUCUCUACUUUCACAGGUAGGGAUGGAUAAGACUGCCUACACACUAUCCUCUCUCCAAACCCGACUUAUCUACACAGAGUAUGUUGUUGUUCCAAUAAACAAUAUUAGAUAUCAGCUUAGACUUCAAUCCAAGAAUACAACUACAAUAAUCAGAAUAAAUUCAAGAAUAAGACCAAUUAUUAAAAGGAAAAUCAAAGCAAAACAGAAAAUUAUGAAAAGGGUAUUUUUUGUUCAGACCUGCUAAUUUAGUGAUACAAGCAGAGAGUGAAGAAGGCCAAGAAUACAUAACAUAACCAGCAAUAUCUUCACCUAAUUGAGUGUAGAGUAACCCAGAAUUCUUCUUUUUCAGUUCCUCAUCAAAAGAUCGAGCUAAAGAUUCAUGUUUGGGGAAAAUCUUCUUCUCUAUUCUCACUAUAUCGUCAACUACCUUAACCCAAUUUGCUGAAUUUCUCUGCAAUUCAACUAUCUCUGCCAUUUCUUCGUUUUCAUAUUUCUCUGUUUUUGCUGCUGUAUUUAGGUUAACAAGAAUCUACUGGGGUCAUUAUUGGAAAGAAAAAUAGUUCCUCUGUUAUUUUAAAAGUUUUUACUUUAUUUUUUUUAACUAUAAAGUUCUUAUAUAUUUUUAACGUUUUAAUUAUUAGAAACUAUUAUGUACAUUGUUUUUAUUUUACAUGGUUUAUUAAUAUAUAUAGUAUAAAUUUGCAUUCAUGUAUUAAUUAACUUAUCAAUUAAUCAAUAGUAAAAAUUCUCUCUGAUUUUCUGAUUAUUUAUGGCCAGUUUUUUUUUGUAUGUGUGCGUCUCUAAGCUCGUAAGUGAAAGUAAAUCAAUUUUUUAAUUGUUAAUUUAUGCCCAACUUCUUUAUGUAUGUGUGCGUUUCUAAGCUCGUAAGUGAAAGUAAAUCGAGUCUCACGAUAUCAUCUGUCUUUGUCAUACUCGUCUGGUUGAACAAGGACUAAUACUAGUUGUUGAGCAAAAUUAAUUUAUAAAUACUCUUAACAAGGUGUGAUAUUAUUUGUUUUGGGUAAAGUCUUUGUAAGGCUUCACACUAUUAAGAGAUUCUACACUUUAUAUGUAAUUUUUCAAUCUUUUCAGCUAUCAAUGUGGGAUUUUAUUUACCCAACUAACAAUUUUGUUAUUUGUUCUUACAUUUUGGUGUUAGCUUUGGCCUUUGUGUACUCCAUCAUAGGUUGAGGAAAGGGAUCAUAUAUAAUUGGAAAAAUACAAAUCAGAAUGGUAUUUUUGUUAGUAAUCCAAGGGAUUGGUUUACUUUUGGACAUGUUAUUUUUUUGGUUCUACUUAAGGUUAGUAAGGUCAUUUCAAUAUUAUUUUCUUCCUACUUCAAUCAACAGCAACUUCUAUUUUUCCUUAUAUGACAACGCAAUUCAAUCUAGCUACGUUGUUAUGUUAACCAACCCCAAAAACAGGACACCAUAUCUAGAUUGAUAAGCUUAAGUAAGUUUCGAUAUGACUCAUUUAUACUUCAAUUAAUCUAAAGUAAAACUUAUCCAUAUGUAUGAUCCAGCCAAAUUAUUUUAUCAAUAUAAUCGAAAUAUUAAAAACAUAUUUAGUAAUUAUGGAUAUCAUAGGUAUAGAUAUGUAUAUAUAUUAUACUAAAAUAUACAAAACCUAUACAAUUAUGACUAUUUGUAAAUUAGAUUAAUCAAAGACAUUGAACUGUAAUUAUUCCAAUCUAUACUUUAAACCCUUUUCACUUCAAAGCACUAUCCCAAUUCUAAACAGUUUGAGACAUGGUAAAAAAAAAUAAUUGAUUUUUUUUUUUUUAAGAUGGGGUGUAGUUAGGUGGAAUUUUCUUGGUUUUGUUCAAAUAAGUCUGCCUUUUGAAGCAUAGGCAUACUUGUUUCAUCUUUAUAUAUAUAUAUAUAAUAAUGAUGUUCUGGAUAACUUUUACACCUUAACUUGAUUAAUUAUGUGAGAUAUCUGUCAUUUUUCAUAGCAAUAUUAUAUUUAACUAUAUUCGCCCAAACUAAAACAGGUAGAAAUAACAUUUGAAUCUGUCAAACUGCAAUAAUGAAUUAUAUAUGGUGGAAGAUUCUUUGGGGCCCAACUGGCCCCACAGCUAAUAUUUUAACGGACGUCCAUGAAAAGUUUUAACAAAAUCACGUCGAAAUUCUAGAUCACCAAAAAUUCAUGGACUAUAUAGCACACGAUAAUCAGCAAAAUGGGGGGGGGGGUUACUUGCUCAAGGGCUCGUCUGACCUUGAAAAUGGGCUGGUUUGCCCGUGGGGACCAAUUGGCUCUAUAACUAAGGUCUUAACGGACGUCCAUGAAAAGUUAUUGCAAAAAAUCACGUUGGAGUUCCAUAUCACCAAAAAUCCAUGGACUAUAGCACAUGAAAAUUGGCAAAAUAAAGGGUUUACCUACUCUGGGCUCGUUUGACCUUGAAAAUGGGUUGGUUUGCCCGUGGGAACCAGCCGGCUCCAUAGCUAAGGUUUUAACGGAAAACCAUGAAAUUUUUUGGCAAAAGUCACGUCGGAAUUGCGGAUCACCAAAAAUCCAUGGACUAUAGUACACGAAAAUCGGCAAAAUGGGGGGGUUUACCUACUCUGGGGAUUGUUUGACCUUGAAAAUUUCCCGAUUUGCCCGUGUGGACCAACUGGCACCACAGCUAAGGUUUUAAUGGACGACCAUGAAAUUUUUUGGCAAAAGUCACGUCGGAAUUGCGGAUCACCAAAAGUUCAUGGACUAUAGUACACGAAAAUUGACAAAAUAGGGGGUUUACCUACUCUGGGGAUCGUUUGACCUUGAAAAUUGUCCGGUUUGCCCGUGUGGACCAACUGGCUCUAUAGCUAAGGUCUUAACGGACGUAUACAGAAAAUUUUGGCAAAAAUCACGUCAAAAUUUCGGAUCACCAAAAAUGCAUGGUCUAUAACACACGAAAAUCGGUAAAAUGAGGGUUUACCUGCUCUGGGGAUCAUUUGACCUUGAAAAUGGGUCGGUUUACUCGUGGGGACCAACUGGCUCUAUGCUAAGGUCUUAACGGACGUCUAUGAAAUUUUUUAGCAAAAAUCACGUCGAAAUUUCGGAUCACCAAAAUCCUAUGGACUAUAGCACACAAAAAUCGGCAAAAUAGGGGGUUUACCUGCUCUAGGCUCGUUUGACCUUGAAAAUGGGCCGAUUUUCCCGUGGGGACCAACUGGCUCCAUAGCUAAGGACUUCACGGACGUCCUUGACAAAUUUUGGCAAAAAUCACGUCGGAAUUCCGUAUCACCAAAAAUUUACGGACCAUAGCACACGAAAAUAGGCAAAAUGGGGGGUUUACCUGCUCUGGGCUCAUUUGACCUUGAAAAUGGGCCGGUUUGCUCGUGGGGACCAACUGGCUGCAUAGCUAAGGUCUUAACGGAUGUCCAUGAAAAUUUUUGGUAAAAAUCACGUAGGAAUUCCGGAUCACAAAAAAUCCAUGGAUUAUAGCACAUGAAAAUCGGCAAAAUGGGGGGUUUUACCUGCUCUGGGGUUCAUUUAACCUUGAAAAUGGGCCAAUUUUCCCGUGGGGACCAACUGGCUCUAUAGGUAAGGCUUAAUGGACGUCCAUGAAUUUUUUUUGUAAAAAUCAUGUCAAAAUUCUGUAUCUCCAAAAAUCCAUGGACUAUAGCACACAAAAAUCAGCAAAAUGGGCGGUUUACCUGCUCUGGGAAUCGUUUGAACUUGAAAAUGGGCCGGUUUACCCAUGGGGAUCAACUGUCUUCAUAGCUAAGGUCUUAACGGACGUCUUUAAAAAUUUUGGCAAAAUUACGUCGAAAUUCCAGAUCAUCAAAAAUCCAUGGAUUAUAGCACAAGAAAAUGGGUAAAAUGGGUUGGUUUGCCCGUGGGGACCAACUGGCUCCAUAGCUAAGGUCUUAACGGACGUCCAUGAAAUUUUUUAGAAAAAAUCAUGUCGAAAUUCUGGAUCACCAAAAAUUGAUGGACUAGCACACAAAAAUUGGCAAAAUGGGGGGUUUACCUACUCUGGGGAUCGUUUGACCUUGUAACUGGGCCAAUUUUCCUGUGGGACCAACUGGCUCCAUAACUAAGGUCUUAACGGACGUCCAUGGAAAUUUUUGGAAAAAAUCACAUCAGAAUUCCGGAUCACCAAAAAUUCAUGGAUUAUAGCUCACGAAAAUUGGCAAAAUGGGGGGUUUACCUGCUCUUGGGCUCAUUUGACGUUGAAAAUGAGCCGGUUUGCUCGUGGGGACCAACUGGCUCCAUAGCUAAGGUCUUAACGGACGUCCAUAAAUUUUUUUGGCAAAAAUCACGUCGGAAUUCCGGAUCACAUUCAUGACUAUUUGUAAAUUAGAUUGAUCAAAGACAUUGAACUGUAAUUAUUCCAAUCUAUUCUUUAAACCUUUUUCACUUCAAAGUACUAUCCCAAUUCUAAACAGGUUGAGACCUAGUAAAAAAAAUGAUUUUUUUUAAAGAUGGGGUGUAGUUAGGUGGAAUUUUCUUGGUUUUGUUCAAAUAAGUCUGCCUUUUGAAGCAUCGGCUAUUCUUGUUUCAUCUUUAUUUUAUUUUUCAUAAUAAUGGUGUUCUGGAUAACUUUCACACCUUGACUUGAUUAAUUAUGUGAGAUAUUUAUCUGAUCAUUUUUCAUCAGCAAUAUUUAACUAUAUUCGCCUAAACUAAAACAGGUAGAAAUAACAUUUGAAUCUGUCAAACUUCAAUAAUGAAUUAUAUAUGGUAGAAGAUUCUUUGGGGCCAUUAUGCAAUGAUAGUGGAACAUGAGAAUAUUUUUAUGAUUGGUAAAAAUAUCAUGGGAAUGGCGAAAAACUAGCUUUGAUAAGAAGAAUAUGAUGCUUUAUAACAUUAUCAAGGGAACAAAAGUCAUUUUUAUAUAUUUGAAGAAAAGAAAGUUUUCACAUUACAAUAAUUGGGAUGCCUAUAAAUGUGUGGUUCAAAAUGAUAGUGACAAGCCACAUAUUAUAUUGAAGCAUUAAUUAAUCAUAGUAAAGAAAGUUCAAUGUUAUUAUUAGGGGCAAUUUGUGCAAAGUAGAUAUGACCUAAGUUGCUUGAACGCAAAGGUAAUGUUAUAAUGUUUGUGAAAAAUUGAUAGAUCAUUAAAUCAUUAAACCUAUUACCUAUAUAAGAUUUAGUGCUAAUUACAAUCAUUUCUAUGUAGUGUAAGUGAUGUUGGAUUAGGUGGAUAUCAACUUAUCAAAGUGGACACCAAAUUUUUUAAAUUGCUUUCUCUAGUGUUACACUAACUUUAAUAAGUGGAAAUCCUUAGACAAUUGUUGAAGAUAUCUAUCAUAUUUGAUCAAAUAAAACAUAAGUUAUCAAUCAUAGAAUCAGAUAUAUACCUUUAAAUUCACGGGAGCGUUUGACUAUGUUUCAUUGUGAAAUUUGAUUUUUCUUUUCAAGUAAAAAAAGAUAAAUUGAAAUUAGAUAUUGUUAUCAACUUGUAUACCACUAGUUCGAAAGGCAUAAUUUCUUAAACUGACAUUCAAACUUAGCCUCCACUUACAAGUAAUUACUUCAACUUUUUCAUUAUGUAUGCAUAUUUAGACACCUUAUAAACUCGACUCAUUUCCACUAUACCAGCUAAACUCUCCAACAUAUGUACAAAAUAAUCAUCUAGUCACCUUCAAAAUUUAUUCAUUACAUCAGCAUCGAAUGUAAUGAGAUACAGAGACGAGUUGAGUAUUUAGUAGACCGUUGAAACCAAGUUGAGGUGUCCAUACCUAUACAACAAUUAUCACAGGUGACAUGCUUUCAAAUAAUUUUGAAGUAUUAAAAAUAGAUGAUUUAUUAAAAUAAGAUAUUUCUCACCAUAAGCAAUUUUCAAUUCUUUCGCAUCAAACGCACCCAUAUUUAGAAUGUUCUAUACUAUCACUCUCCAUAGACGGCAGCCAUCAUGUCAAUCACCACCCACCAGCACUUGCUGUUGUUAACCUUGCCAAAUAGAUAAUGACAAGUUGGCAUAUGAGAUAGGUGGUCUACGCCUAUCAACAUGAGUUGUGGUGCAAUGGUGGAAUUGCUCAAUCCUUAAUUAGAAAUUUCAGGUUUGAGUCUUGGGUAUGAAGAAAAUUCUAUUGGAAGCGUCACUCUCAAAUGAGUCCUGUGCUGUACAAUUCAGAUUUAAUUAAGGCUUUAAUGCAGACUCCGAACAGUGAGCGUGAGAAAAAAAGAGAGGUGGCCUAUGCCUAUUUCUCUUUGAGAUGUUGAUGCCUUGAUUUUGAAUGUCUUGUUUUUCAAUCCUCGUGCUUAUAUCUUUGAAUAUUCAUUACUUUCUCUAGAUGUGAAAACUACUCUUUCCGUUUCAAUUUGAAUAUUCAGAUUAUAAAGAAUAUUUUUUUUAUAUUUUACGUAACUUUAAUCGAAUACCAUAUAAUUUAAAAGUUCGUUUUACUUUUUUAAAUCAAAAUCAAAUAAAUAAAUUAAAACGAAAGGAGUGAUGGCUGAGAUGUCCUGUAAAAUGGUAUUGGUCUCUUUAGUGGGAUUUUGUUAUUUUGAUUUUAAAUUGACACAAGAAGCUAAACAAGCUUUGUCUUCUUAAUGAUUGGAUUUGAUUCAUCUUUUCAAUUUCAAUUGAGUCUGUCUCAAAAUUCAUAAUGUUAACUAUAUAAAUCCAGGUGAUCAUAUAUUACAUUGAUCUAAGAUGUAUAUUCAUAUCAUAUAUCGCGUUACUAAAUAUAAUUACAUUGUAUGAACACGCGAAGAAGAUGAUCAGAACAAGAGAAGACAUGUUACUAAACAACAACAUAAGAAAAAACAAAUUCUGUUAAGUGAUUGAUCCGCGUGUGAUAGUUGUCUUCUUAACCUUGGACUAUUGCUUCCUGCUAGAUUAUAUGAACUUGAAUAUGUAUACAAAUUAGUAUUCAAUGAGUUCCCAAACAUUCGCGCAUAAAAAAUUUCCCCUGUUGUCGUUCCACCAGGACUUAGCAUAUGUUCUGUAUUUGUAUAAUUUCGAUGAUGAUCAUGAGAUUGUUGGUAUAAUGGAGGCAUAUUAUUAUUGGGUAUUACUCCGUGACUCCUACAUCUCGGAGUAGGAGGUCUUUGUGGUAUGACUAUACCAAGAUUCAGGGCCUUGCCUGCUGUUUUUGUAGCUUGACCGCGACCAUAGAGUGGAAUCAAUGUUUUUUGUGAGACUUCAGCUUUGCAAACAGGGCAUUUUGGCUGUUGAUUAUCGAUGUUCUCUGAUGAAAUGGUCUUAAUAUGUAUCCAUUUGUAGAUGCAAGGCCAACAAUAGAGGUGACCACAUAAUGUAACAACAGGAUCAUGUACAACAUCCAGGCAAAUGUUGCACUCGAAACCUCCAGGUGAAUUUUCUUCAAGUUUAUCAAGAUCAAUUGUCUUACAUUUUUCAAAGGAAAUAUCGCGUUGAUCAAAAAUAGUUUCUGGUAUUUGGUCUUGAAAAAUUUGUUCUAAGGCCAUAUUUGCUUCUUGGUAUUGAUUUAUUUUGGUAAUGGCAAGAUGAAUGGUUAGAAUUCAGGUUUUUAAUACAAUUAGAAGUGAGUAUUUAUAAGGACAAGAAUAGUAGUUUGCAAACAAUGAUUCUUAAGGUUGUCACUUGUCAACAUCACAUCAUGUUAAAGGGGCAUGGCCAAAAAGAAAAGGCCCUACACAUUAUUAAACAACACUAUAUCAUAUUACUCAACUCAGUUUUGAUUUAUGGGUACUGUUUGAUUUGAUAUAACAUUUAAUAAGAAAAUGAAAACUUUUAAAAUAUGUACUGUAUUAAAGAUAAAAAAUAAAUUUUAAAUUUUUAGAUCCUAGAAAUGAUAUUCUUUUUAUAUUAAGACUACAACAAAUGUCUUACAUAAAUUAAGACAGGUGAACUAUCAAACACAUCAUAAUUAAGUGAUUUAAUGAAGUCAAAAAUAAAUAUUAAUGGAUCAUGGUUAAGUGAGAGGAGUUUUGUGCAAACACGUCUUUUAUCUAUCUAUUUGAUUUAAACAAGCAUAAGUUUUAUCAUAUUAGAAAUAUGAUUAGGACCUUAUAUUAGGCCCCAUGAUAAGAAUCUUAAUCUAGAAAAUAACUUUUAGUCAAUAAAAAGUAGCACUAGUUGCGUACAAGGAGCUACCACUUGAUGACCUUCCACACAGCCACAUCCCAUAAGUUCAAUAGUUUUCACACUAUAAGAACUAGAUGUUUUUUUCCGAGUGAAUCAAUAAAAAUUUUAUGUUAUAAAACAUGAUUUUUUUCAUUUUGAUUUUAUUAAACUAAUUCACUAAGAAAACCCAUAACGAAACAUAAGUUCUCAUUGAAAUACUGGAAAUAGUCACUUGGAAAUUUAUGAGUUUUAGGAAAUUAUGCAUCAAAACUUAGAAAGACGCGGCUCAUAUAGAAAUUUGUUGUUAAAUCAUAAUAUAUACUUUUACAUCUGAAUAUCUUUAUUGAUUUGGUUAAAAUUAUAAUUAAAAAAAUUACAAUACAAUAUAUAUAGAUUCACAUAAAUUUAAUACUGUAAGUUCAAUUAUUAUUAUGAUAUAUUAAUCUAAAAUUAUUAUAGAAGCUUCUAAACUCUAAAUUCAGAUCCAACUAAGGAGUGAAUAUACAUAGUGGGGGUCUGGGGGAUGGGAGAAAACAUAUGGACGGUGUGACAAAUAAAUAAAAGAAAUACUCCGUCCAUUCCAUUUGACUUAGUAUUGUUUGACUUAAUACGAUGUAUAAGAGAAAAAAAAGAUUUUAGAAAAUUAUAGGCUAAAACAAUUUUUAUAUAUUUAUAUAAUUGUAAAUCAUUUCAUUAAUUAAGGGUAGAUGGAGAAUUUUAAGUUUAAUUAUUUUCAAUUACAAUAAAAUGACAUUUUUAAAGACGGAUUAUGAGAAUAGAGUGCCACGUAAUAUAAAACGAGAAAAUACUACUCCCUCCUUCCCAUUUUAUAUGUUACCUUUUUACUUUACAUUUACAUUAAGAAAUAAUGUAACUUUACCCUUCUACCCUUAUUUAAUGUUUUCUUAAGUUAACUUUAUAACUCCCUCCGUCCCAUUUUAUAUGUCAUCUCUUUCUAUAAAUAGUUGGACCACAAUACUUGUCAUUUUAUAAAAUUUAUGUAUAAAUUACCAUAUUUUACCUAUUAUAUCCUUGAUAGAGUAGUUAAUUAAUCUUGAAAAUAUAUUCAUCAUUUAUUAUAAAUUGACUUAAGAAAAUAUUAAAUAAGAAUAGAAAGAUAAAAUUACAUCAUUCUUCAACAAGUGGUAUCAGAGCCAGGUUAAUAAGAGCGAGGUAGUAACUCAAAAGAGAUCCUACAAGCUACCGUCGGAGGCUACAAAUCGCGAGGCACUAAUUAAUGAUGGAUUUUGCAAGCACUCUCAAUAGCGUUGAGANNNNNNNNNNNNNNNNNNNNNNNNNNNNNNNNNNNNNNNNNNNNNNNNNNNNNNNNNNNNNNNNNNNNNNNNNNNNNNNNNNNNNNNNNNNNNNNNNNNNNNNNNNNNNNNNNNNNNNNNNNNNNNNNNNNNNNNNNNNNNNNNNNNNNNNNNNNNNNNNNNNNNNNNNNNNNNNNNNNNNNNNNNNNNNNNNNNNNNNNNNNNNNNNNNNNNNNNNNNNNNNNNNNNNNNNNNNNNNNNNNNNNNNNNNNNNNNNNNNNNNNNNNNNNNNNNNNNNNNNNNNNNNNNNNNNNNNNNNNNNNNNNNNNNNNNNNNNNNNNNNNNNNNNNNNNNNNNNNNNNNNNNNNNNNNNNNNNNNNNNNNNNNNNNNNNNNNNNNNNNNNNNNNNNNNNNNNNNNNNNNNNNNNNNNNNNNNNNNNNNNNNNNNNNNNNNNNNNNNNNNNNNNNNNNNNNNNNNNNNNNNNNNNNNNNNNNNNNNNNNNNNNNNNNNNNNNNNNNNNNNNNNNNNNNNNNNNNNNNNNNNNNNNNNNNNNNNNNNNNNNNNNNNNNNNNNNNNNNNNNNNNNNNNNNNNNNNNNNNNNNNNNNNNNNNNNNNNNNNNNNNNNNNNNNNNNNNNNNNNNNNNNNNNNNNNNNNNNNNNNNNNNNNNNNNNNNNNNNNNNNNNNNNNNNNNNNNNNNNNNNNNNNNNNNNNNNNNNNNNNNNNNNNNNNNNNNNNNNNNNNNNNNNNNNNNNNNNNNNNNNNNNNNNNNNNNNNNNNNNNNNNNNNNNNNNNNNNNNNNNNNNNNNNNNNNNNNNNNNNNNNNNNNNNNNNNNNNNNNNNNNNNNNNNNNNNNNNNNNNNNNNNNNNNNNNNNNNNNNNNNNNNNNNNNNNNNNNNNNNNNNNNNNNNNNNNNNNNNNNNNNNNNNNNNNNNNNNNNNNNNNNNNNNNNNNNNNNNNNNNNNNNNNNNNNNNNNNNNNNNNNNNNNNNNNNNNNNNNNNNNNNNNNNNNNNNNNNNNNNNNNNNNNNNNNNNNNNNNNNNNNNNNNNNNNNNNNNNNNNNNNNNNNNNNNNNNNNNNNNNNNNNNNNNNNNNNNNNNNNNNNNNNNNNNNNNNNNNNNNNNNNNNNNNNNNNNNNNNNNNNNNNNNNNNNNNNNNNNNNNNNNNNNNNNNNNNNNNNNNNNNNNNNNNNNNNNNNNNNNNNNNNNNNNNNNNNNNNNNNNNNNNNNNNNNNNNNNNNNNNNNNNNNNNNNNNNNNNNNNNNNNNNNNNNNNNNNNNNNNNNNNNNNNNNNNNNNNNNNNNNNNNNNNNNNNNNNNNNNNNNNNNNNNNNNNNNNNNNNNNNNNNNNNNNNNNNNNNNNNNNNNNNNNNNNNNNNNNNNNNNNNNNNNNNNNNNNNNNNNNNNNNNNNNNNNNNNNNNNNNNNNNNNNNNNNNNNNNNNNNNNNNNNNNNNNNNNNNNNNNNNNNNNNNNNNNNNNNNNNNNNNNNNNNNNNNNNNNNNNNNNNNNNNNNNNNAAGCUUGAGAUAAGAGGAGACGUUAUAUGUGCUGGAUGUCAAUAUGGGAAAGCACAUCAACUUCCCUAUGGAGAAUCAAAGUAUCAAGCGNNNNNNNNNNNNNNNNNNNNNNNNNNNNNNNNNNNNNNNNNNNNNNNNNNNNNNNNNNNNNNNNNNNNNNNNGACCAGUGAAGCAGUCCUCCAUCAGCGGUUACCGUUACAUGGUAACAUUCAGUGAUGACUUCUCAAGGUACGUAUGGAUUUACUUCAUAAAAGAGAAAUUUGAAGUAUUUGAGAAGUUUAAAGAGUUUCAAUAUACUGUGGAGAAUGAUAUUGGAAGAAAAAUCAAAUGUCUCCGUACGGACAAUGGGGGAGAAUACACGUCACGAGAGUUCAAUGAAUAUCUUAAAGAGAAGUUGAUAAGACGACAACUAACUUGUCCAAAUACACCACAACAAAAUGGAGUGGCUGAAAGAAAAAAUAGACAUCUGGCGGAGAUAUGCAGAAGUAUGUUGCAUAGUAUGAAUGUACCAGCAAGGUUUUGGGCAGAAUGCAUGAAGACUGUUGUCCACAUCAUCAACAGGCUGCCGCAGGCAAGAUUGAGAUUUAUCUCACCAUUUGAGAAACUUAAAAAAAUAGAUUCCUACUGUAAGCCACUUUCGAGUUUUUGGUUGUGUGUGCUAUGUGUUCGUGCCAGAUCAUCUCCGCAACAAGUUUGAUAAGAAAGCUGUUCGUUGCAUCUUUGUUGGAUACGAUGAACAAAGAAAAGGAUGGAAGUGUUGUGACCCUACCACAAAUCGGACAUAUGUGUCAAGAAAUGUGGUAUUUGAUGAAGCAUCAUCUUGGUGGUCCAAAGAAGUCUCCCUGCCAGACUCAAUAGCUCUUGAGCAAAAGCUGCAAGAUAAGCUCAAUGAAGUAGAACAAGGGAACAAGAUAGACUCUAACCAGGAGGUAUCUCCACAAAAGGAAAAGAAAAGCUUACCACAAACUGGAGCUUGUGAAACACCAGAUGAGUUGCAAGAAGAAGUCCAAGAAGAGUCACAAUCGCAACUGAGGAGGUCUACACGACUGAAGCGUCCAAACAUCAAGUACAUAGAUGCAGCAUUAACCGAGGUGGUUAACAUCAAAGAGGCUGCUACCUUUGAAGAAGCUUCAAAGAGUAGGGAUCGGAAUAAUCCGACGAAGGUGGAGAUCCCCAAAGGGUAUGGACGUUAUGAUGCUUGCAAAGUUUCAGGAAUCGCUCACAAAAGACGCAAAGAAAAAAUUAAGUUGGUGUUGAGGGGGAGUGUUAAGAAUUCAUCACCAACUUAAUUCUUUACUUAAGAUAAAUCAAGAAAAAUCUAGAAUAUUCCGGAGGUGUAGAGAAUUGAAGGAAGAUCUCUAGAAUGAGUAUUCUAGAAAGAAUAGUCUAGAAAUGUUCUAGAAAGAAUAGUUCUAGAAAAAGAUAGUUAGGAAUAUUCUAGAAUAGAGUAGUAUGUAUCUCUCUAGAUUCUUCCAUCACCACCUAUAAAUAGAGGUGGUCCAUUUGAGUUGUAAGCAACCAAGCAAGAAACCAAGCAAGAAAUAAGAGAGCAAACAAGAGUGAGUGCUUAAGUCAAAUAGUGUUGCUGAAGCAAGCAACAAGUGUGAUCAAGAUUGUAAGACCGAAGCGGGUCCUUACUUUGAUAUAAUAAAAUUCAAGUUGUGAGAAAUCGAUUGUGCCCGUCGUCUCCAAAACAAUAAUAUUCAACACUCAUCCCCAAUUCUAGAGACUAAGUUUCUCAUCUUCAUUCUUAUCUCUAUCCUUACUUGUUAUUUCAAUAUUUCCAUUGUAAUUAGAUAGUUUGAUUAUUCCAAUUAGAAUAUUAAAGUUGUAAUAGUGUUCCAGUGCUCUUAUUAAUAGUGUGAGAAUUUUGGUUUGUUACAUCAGACGUUCUCUUUUCGAAUAAUUGAACGUCUCAUAUUAUUUGCUAAUGAAAAAUAUCAUGAGUAGGACCCAAAAAGAUAGUAGUACCAGAUAACAAACAAAAAAAUACUGUACAGUCUAAAAAUAAGUAUAGAAUAGCUUGAACUUUUGGGCCGUUGUAUAAAACACCCAGAAAGGGAGACAGGGGAGUCACUGGUCCACUUAAUUAUUACAUGUAGUAAAAUUAUUAGUUAUGUACUAGCAAUACUGGAAGUAUUAUUUCAUGGCAUAUAUUGGUGACUAAGAUAAGUGAUAAGCAUAAUAAAUAAUUUAGAAGUAGGUGGAUUCGAGUCAUCAACGAGCUCCCGGGGAGGAAUGAAAAAACUCUUAAUAAUAACUACAACAUGGAGUGGCCACUGCUAGCAUAGGUGAUAUCCUACGAAUAAUGAUGCCACUGCCUUCCGUCAUAUCCAAAUCCUCCGGUUUUAACACUUCUGGUAAUGCUAAAUUGAACUUGUGCACAAUCCUUGCUAAUGCUAGCUCAAUUACCACAAUAGCAAAACCAGUUCCUGGGCAGCCCCUUCUCCUAAAAUUGUCAACUUUUUAUAUUUUGGCUUACUUGGAAGCAAGUCUAUCCUCUCCUAUCCAAUCAAUUAGGGUGGCCAUUAAUCAGAUAUUAUUAGGCUAAAGAUAACAUAUUGCUCCCUCCGUUUUUAAUUAUUUAUCCAUUUUUUUAGUUAUUCCUAAUUACUUGUCUAUUUUGACAAAUCAAGAAAGAAUAAUUUUUUUUACCUAUUAUACCGUCAAUUUAUUACUUUGAAAAAAGUAGAACUUUUUGAAAAUCUUGAGUUUUUAAUUCAUCCACUUCAUAAUUAAUAUGGGUAAAAUGGUAAACUCACUAUUUCAAUAAUUGUUUUCUUAAUAAGUGUGCCAAUUUAAAAAUGGAUAAGUAAUUAGGGAUAGAGAAAGUAUAUCGAAAUAAUAUAAUCAGAUAUUAUGCUAAAGAUGAUUAACAAAACUUUGAACAAUUAUAAAUAAGAUAGCAAAAAAAUCGAUUAGAUAAUACUUAGCAAAUUAACACGGUUCAACGAUUAGUGAUGGAAUCUGAAUAUGAUUCGGGAUUUUCACUAUUAAUGAAAUUCAAAAGGCAUAAUACAUAAAUGUGCCCUUUAACUUGACUUCAUUUUAUGUUUAUGUCGUUCAAUUUUGGGUAUGCACAUAAACUUGUAUAAAGUUGAACAACUAGCCACAUGAGUUCUACACGACACAAUACAUUUAAGACACCACGUAGGAUAAAAAAUGACAUGUAGGAUACCAUAUAGGACAUGUGUGUCUGUUUCUUCAACUUUAUACAAAUUUAAAUGUCUACUUGUGCACACCCGAAGUUGAAGGGCAUAAAUGUGAUUUGAAGCCAAGUUAAAUGGUAUAUUUAUGUAUUAUGCCUAUUCAAAAUAUGAAUAAGUAAACAUACAAAUUAGCUGACUACAAUAAUACAAAGAUAAAAAAACAAUUUUAAUUAUAUGUAUAAAUAGUAUAAUUUUCCAUCAAAGGUGGUUCAUUUGAUUCCUCACUUCUUUCCCUCAUUUAAAACUAUGCAAUAUGAGACUUUCAUGUCACAUGGAAUCCUUCUCUUUUUUUUUUUUGGAAAUCUUAAUAGCUCAGUUAACUAACUGACUAUUUGAAUUCUCGAUUCCCCAUACUGUAAUCCUCUACCCCAAUUUUUUUCAUUACCUUCCUCACAUAUGUAUAAGACCGAAUCCAAAGAACUAAGAUGAGAGAAUUUUGGGAGAGCCGCCACUCCAACUACUGCCAUGUAUUAUCCAUACUAGAUCUGACCAUCUGUCCAUCCUACCCUCCUCUACGUUCUUGACAACCCAUUUUUGUCUUAGUCAAGUCUUUUAGUGGCACAUUUUGACCUUCUUUUCCAUUACUUAGAAAAAGUGAGCUAUUAUUCAGAUACAAAAUACUAUCAUUAUCGCCUAGAAAAUUAGACAUUCAACCCGUAAUCACAAUGAUCCAAUUACAAAAGCUCUGAACCCCCUAGGUCUAGACUGGCUCUGGCCCCUGGUUUUAUCACUUGACCUUCACAUGAGUAAACUCGUUGAUAUAGAGGAUUACAGUAUCGAUUUCUUUAAAAGAAAAAAACCUUAAUUUAUAAAAGUUCAAAAGAUUUUAAUUCAAUGUUUGUAAGUAAAAAAACAUAUUUCAUAAAACGGUUGCAAAUCACAUCGAAUAAGUUCCAUUGAUUGGUGUAUGGUUCUCAUAAGGGAAGUAACAGCAGCAUAAGCCAUAUAUCCAAAAAAUAGGACUAUCUCUCACUCUCAGUAUGAAAAUGGACAAAUUAAUUGCCACAAGUUAUGAAAAUGGCUAGUCCUCAGAACACCUUAACUACUUGCUGCAGAAUAAAAAAAAGACGCAAAAAAUGGAAAAUAAUAUGUUAGAUGUCCCAUAAUUAAGGAACAAGAGAACAUUAUAGUAAGAAUGAGCAUGCAGGUAUAAGAACUUACUCAUUAUUGCGGCAAGAAGCAACUUCUUUCUCAAAGUCAUCAUCAUCAUCAUCUUCAUCUGUUGUUACAGUAUCAAAUACCAAUUUCUCGAGCUGAUAUAAGUAGCGAAAAUCAUACAGGUCCUUGUGAUUGCGAAAGUCCUCUGGGACGCCAAAUACUUUCAACUUCUUUAAAUUGGGAAAUAGUCUAAAAAAAGACCCUGUACAAUACCAAGGAUUCAAUUGAUUGAGGCAUUGCAAACUUUUCAAAACCAAUCUGUUCUCUGUAGGCUCAUGACUCUGCAAGUAAUUCCAGCCCAUACACAGCUUCCUCAAUUGUGGCAUUGUCAAAAUUUCCGAUGGUAAUAUGAAAGGAUAAGCACAAUCACGAAACGGAAAGUUAAACUUAAAAGUUUGUAGAUAGCAUAGGCUUGAUAUCGAUAGAGGAAUGUCUAUUAUUGAUGAGGGAACAGCUUUUAACGAUCCUCGAUACUGCUUUAAGCAAGGAUAAAAACACAAAGAUAGGUAUCUCAAAUGAAUUAGAGAAAGUACUCCACUGGGAAAAAUUGGGUAUAUAUUCAAACCAAGAUCUAGUACUCUUACUAGCUUGAAAGACAAUUCCAGUGUGAAGCAUUUCAAUCCACCCAACAUGAUAAUAGAAUGAGCCUCACUGUUACGACACCAAGCCAAUUCUUCCUUCUUAUAGAUACUGAUCCGACUUCGACUCUUAAAGGAACACUGCAUGGAUUGUGCACAUGAAUUUUGAUCACUCUUUCCUCUGAUAACAUUCACAAAAUUCAUGUUUCGAGCUUCCCUCAAACAGAGUUCACGGAUCACAUCAUGCAUUCCACAUCUCUCUAUUUCCCCAUCAAAACUCAAAUUGUGGAUAGAAAUUAGACUUCUAUCUACAAGUUCGUUUAUACAUGUUUCUGCCACCUCUUCUAUGCUUUUUCCUUCUUCUUCAUUCAAAAACCCCUCUACGGCCCAUAACUCAACAAGUGCAUUUACAUAAAUCCGUUCAUCCUCUGCGAAAAUUGCAAAAUACAGAAAACACGGUUUUAGGUGAGAAGGCAAGUGAUGGUAACUCAAAGCCAACACUCUCAUGCAUUUUGCUUCAAGAUCUCUGCUUACCACCGAACUUACAUUCUCCGCAACAUUUUGCCACUCAUCCAAUGUUUUACUGAUUUUGGAGAGAAGUCCAGCAAUCAAAGUAAUUUCUAGAGGUAACCCUCCACAUUUUAAUGCAAUUUGUUUCCCAAUAUUUUCAAAUUCAGGAGAAUAAGAACCUUCUUUUUCAAAGAUCUUUUUGUGUAGUAAAUUCCAACUUUCGUCAAAAUUCAUGAGGCGCAUNNNNNNNNNNNNNNNNNNNNNNNNNNNNNNNNNNNNNNNNNNNNNNNNNNNNNNNNNNNNNNNNNNNNNNNNNNNNNNNNNNNNNNNNNNNNNNNNNNNNNNNNNNNNNNNNNNNNNNNNNNNNNNNNNNNNNNNNNNNNNNNNNNNNNNNNNNNNNNNNNNNNNNNNNNNNNNNNNNNNNNNNNNNNNNNNNNNNNNNNNNNNNNNNNNNNNNNNNNNNNNNNNNNNNNNNNNNNNNNNNNNNNNNNNNNNNNNNNNNNNNNNNNNNNNNNNNNNNNNNNNNNNNNNNNNNNNNNNNNNNNNNNNNNNNNNNNNNNNNNNNNNNNCAUGUUCAGGUAAACUGACAAGUGAGCUAGUUUGUGGUUUUAGAUCUUUCAUGCUGUCCGAUGCUGCCAUCCACUGUUUCACGGUGGAAUCAAUGUAUUCUAGUGCUUGUUCCAAGACGAAAAAAAUCUCCCACAUAGCCCUGCUUCUUUCCUCCAAAUUCUGUGCUAAAAAAACAUUUCUUGAUUCCGAGUCAACCAUAUCUUCUGUUGUGUAUGCUACCUCUGCGAUUUCAACUUCCAAGAUUGUUAACCCCUCAUGAUCGCCCAUUAUAUUGCAGGAUUUCUCCAGAAUAGCUCUCAAAGAUUUGAGCUUUUCAUAAAACGGUUGCAAAUCACAUCCAGUAAGUUCCAUUGAUUGAUGUAUGGUUCUCAUAAGGGAAGUAACAGCAGCAUAAGCCAUAUAUCCAAAAAAUAGAAAUAUCUCUCAGUAUGAAAAUGGACAAAUUGCCACAAGUUAUGUAAUUUUUCAGUUUUUAAGAAAACAGAAAAUGCAAAGUUCUUUCUUUUACUAGCUAUUUCCAUCACAUUUCCAGCUAGGUCCACCAACCUUAUCAUCAUGUAGACAAAAGCAGAGACCAAAGUUAAAAAAAAGUAGAAAAAUUUGUGAUCAUUCAUUAUUAGACCGUACACAUAUCUAUUCAUGAAUAUAAGUAUGCUUCUUACAUACAAGAGAUUGAUGAUUUUAAUUACAUUGAAAGCAACUUAGUAGAAUUUUCCAAAUCAAAGAGAGAAAUAUUAAGAUCCAAGUAGGAAUUUCUCUAUUCCUAGUUCGAUUCAAUUAACCAAGCAUAAAUAUCUCUUAAUAUACAUGAGAAGUUUAGACUCUAAAAGUCAAAUCAACAAAAUAUUUAUGGGCUAACACAUGAAAAACUAUUGAGAAAAUCGCCUAAUUUCUGUAAAUUGGCCCUUAAAUCUCCAAAAUGAACUCUAAAAAUUGUCAGACUGUACGUAUUGCUCCCCAACUCCCUACUGAGGGUUCUGUAAAGAUUUCGAUUAGAAUUCGUCCGUAAGUCAUAUCACCAAUAUAUUAAUGACUAACACACACGAAAAACUGAGAAAAUUGUCUAAUUUCUUGAAAUUGGCCCCUAAAUGCCUAAAAUGGACUCUAAAAGUUGUGAGACUGUACGUACUGCUCCCCCGACUCCCUACAGAGGGUUUCGUAAAUGUGUAGCAAAGAAAUCGUCUGGAAGUCAUAUCACUAUAAUAUUAAUGGGCUAACACACACAAACCACUGAGAAAGUCGCGUAUUCCUGUAAAUUGGCCCCUAAAUGCCCAAAAUGAACUCUAAAAUUGUGAGACUAUGUACUGCUCCACUAACUCCCUAUGGAGGGUUCCGUAAAGAUUUCACAAAGAAAUUAUUCGGAAGACAUAUCACCAAAAUAUUUAUGGGCUAAUACAUUUUUAUUUGUCCAUUUGAUUUGACAUAUCUUUCAAGUACUUUGAUCUGGUUAUACUUUUUUUUUAUUGCUAAAAAUAAAUAUCCACUUUUACUUGUUCAUUCUACAAAACAAAGACAAUAUUUUAUUGCUUGAUUCAGAUAUAAAAUUUGAGUAGGCUAAUUUACAAACCAUCUGUAGUCAUCCUGCCCCUAUGCUAUAACAUUUGAAAGAAAGAGGUCAUCAUCAUCAUAUUCAUCAUCGUUGUCAUCUUCAUCAUCAUCUUCAUCAUCGUUGUCAUCUUCAUCAUCAUCUUCAUCUUCUUCAUCAUUAUCAUCAUCAUCAUCAUGAUCGUCAUCGUCACUUGUUUCCUCACUGUUGAAAAAGCCAGCAACAAAAGAUGAAAAAUGAAAUGUUAUGCAAGUAUAACAAGUUACACAAUUACUAUAUUGGAAGGAUUUAAAUCAUAUACAAUGACAACGUAUGAACUUUUACACUAUAGGUGCCAUUUAACUGCUUAUUAAAGCAAUUUAUAAUUAUUUUAUUACUAGUUCUGGACACGUGCUUUGCAUGUGUAUAUUACACGUUUAGUCACGAUUGUAAGAGGGUGUACACCAGGAUCAUUCGAAGAGCAAAGUCGUGUGAGCCUUACAGAUAUUCUUGACGUACUCCUAUUAAAAUCUGUAUCAUAUUCGUAACUUUUUGAAUGAGGUUCACCUUUUUCCUCAUUGUACUUUGUACAUGGAUGUUGUCCAUCACAAUAUCCCCUUUUUCAAAUUUCAUAGCUGAACUACUAGGUGUACGAGUUCCUACCAGAACUACUACCAACUAUUUAUCAAAACACACAUCAACUAUAUAUGAGUUGUUCCCUUUUACUAGUGGUGACAAAUAGGUGGAUUUGGACGGGACUGAAAAUGGAUUGAGCAACAUGGUCGUAACUCACUUAAUCUCUUAAAGCCAGAAAACUUUAAAGAGUUAAUUGAAAUAAACUUAAUGACUAUCCUACUUGAAGUAUCACCGUCGUUCAGGUAAGAAAAAGGAAGUAUAUCAAGGAAGAAGAUGUCUUACAAAGCCUGAUGGAUAUGGACCUCGAUAGAACCUCCAUAGUUGUCUUGAAUGUCCUGUUGAAUCUGCUUUGCGGAAUUCCCAACAGAUUCUGGGCAGUUUCUUAUAUAGAUUAGAGCAAGUGUGGUUAUAUCUGCAAAAUCUUGAGGGAUUGAGUCCAAAAACCUGCAACUAUCAAGAAAUAGUCGUUCAAGGCACGGAAAGUGAUCACAACUAGCUCUCCAGUACUGAAUAUGUGAUCUUUUAAGUAACAAGAACUUCAAAAAAGGAAACCCUUCCUCAGCUACUUCCCACUCCCUGCCUCUGCAUACACCCUGUGUUAGUUCAAGAAGUUCAAGUUUGGGCAAUUUUCCGACAACAAUGCUUAAAUCCUUCCAUGACAAGAAGAAAUUUCCUGUAAAAGUUAAAUUCUUAAGGUUUCGUGGAAAAGCAUCUGGAGGAGGUAAGAUCAAAGAUGGAACAACUUCUACAACAAGUGGAUUCCUUGUCUGAAAACACAUUCUCCUCUCCAAAAAGUAAGCAUUAUUUUGAGGAGGAAGACAAAAUGCUAGUUCCUCGAGAUGAUCUAAGUAGCGAAAAUCAUAGAGGUCUUUGUGACUAUGGAAGUCUUGUGGGAUGCCACGUACUUGCAACUCCUUUAAAUUGGGAAAUAGUCUAAAGAAAGAUGCAGUACAAUAGCUAGGAUUCCAUCCAAACAGAGAAUGUAAAUUUUUCAUAACCAAACUUUUCUCUGUAAGCUCAUGAUAUCGCAAGUAAUUCCGAUCCAAAUGAAGGUGCCUCAACUGUGGCAUUGUCAAAAUAUCUGAUGGUAAUAUCAAAGCAUGUUUACGAAGAUUAAUGACGAGUGGAAGGUAAAGUACCAAACUUUGCAGAUAGCAUAGGUUUGAUAUGGAUGUAGGAAUGUCUACUCUUGAUGAGAGAACAUCUUCUUCGGAUCCUAGAUAUUGCUCAACGUUAGGAUAAAUACGCAAAGCUAGGUGUCUUAAGUGAAUCAAAUAAAGUAUUUCACGGGGAAAAGUUAGACAGAUAUUAUCAGCAAGAUCUAGAACUCUUACUAGCUUGAACGGCAAGUACUCCCUCAUGCAACAUCGGAAUCUACCAAAUAAGAUAACAGAAUGAGCUUCACUGUUAAGGCACCUAACAUACUCUUUCUUAUUAUGGAUGCUGAUUCGACUUCGACUCUUAGACAAACACUGCAUGGAUUUCACAUAUGAAUUUUGAUCAUUCUUUCUUCUGAGAACAUUCACAAAAUUCAUGUUACGAGCUUCCAUCAAACAGAGUUCACGAGUCAUAUCAUGAAUUCCACAACACUUAAUUUUUCCAUCAAAAGUAGUACUUUUAAUGGAAAUUAAACUUCUAUCAAUAAGAUCUUGUAGGUACUUUUCUGCCACUUCUUCUAUGCUUUUCAUCUCUUCUACCUUCAAAAAUCCCUCUGUUUCCCACAAUAUCAUAAGUUUAUUGACAAAAAUCAGUUUAUCCUCUGGGAAGAUUGCGAAAUAUAAAAAGCAUGGUUUUAGGUGGUGAGGCAAGUAAUGGUAACUCAUUGCCAACACCCUCAUGCAUUGGACACCAACAUCUGUGCUUACUGCUGAACUUACAUUUUCAGCAACACUUUGCCACUCACUCAAUGCUUUGUCAAUUUUAGUGAGAAGUCCCGCGAUCACAACAAUUGCUAGAGGCAAUCCUCCGCAUUUCAAUGCAAUUUGCUUUCCAAGUUGUUCAUAUUCAGGGGAGAAAGAGUCUUUCGUAAAGACUUUUUCAUAUAAUAAAUUCCAACUUUCGUCAAAAUUCAUGAGGCGCAUGUGAUGAGGAAGCUUACCUGAGCUAGCAUAUUCAGCCACUUCCACAUUCCGAGUAGUCAAGAGUAUUCGGCUUCCAUUAUGAAAGUCUGGGAAACAUAUUUGUAUAUCAUCCCAAGCUUUUGUAGUCCAUAUGUCAUCAAUGACUACCAAAUAUCUCUUGCCUUUUAGAAGCUUUUGCAGUCGAUCUGCUAGUUGCCCGUCAUGUAGCUGAUCAUAAGGUUUAUCACUUAUACAAGAAAGAAGGUCUAGGAAAACAUUUCUCACACAAUACUCUUGUGAAACAGUAGCUUUUGCACGUAUGUCAAAGCGAUACAUCAUGCAUGGAUCGUUGUAGAGUUUUGUUGCCAAAGUUGUCUUGCCAAUGCCUCCCAUACCUACAAUUGAUACAACUUCUAGUUCUCUUUCUCCUCUAGCAAGUUGAUCCAGCAUCAUCUUGAAUUCAUUUUCAUAGCCAACCAUUAUAACCUCGGACCGCUCAACAGCAAGUUCAGGUAUCUUGGAUAGACAGAAAUUUUGUGCUUUGAAAUCUUUAAUGUUGUUGUACCAGUCCCAUAUUGCCAACCACUGCAUCAUGAAGGAAUCAAUACAUUCUACCUCUUGUUCCAAGGAACAACAGAGUUCCCAGAAAGCUUUGCUUCGUGUAAUUACAGUUUCUGCAGAAGAAACUUUUCUUGAUUUCGAAUCAACCAUGUCUUCUGCUUUGAAUGCUACCUCCGUGAUUUCAACUUCCAAGGUUGUUAACCCCUCAUGAUCGCCCGUUAUAUUGCAGGAUUUCUCUAGAAUAGCUCUCAAAGAUUCGAGCUUUUCAUAAAACGGUUGCAAAUCACAUCCAUUAAGUUCCAUUGAUUGGUGUAUGGUUCUCAUAAGGGAAGUAACAGCAGCAUAAGCCAUAUAUCCAAAAAAUAGGAAUCUCUCACUCUCAGUAUGAAAAUGGACAAAUUAAUUGCCACAAGUUAUGUAAUCUUUCUUUUACUAACUAUUUCCAUCACAUUUCUAGCUAGGUCCACUAACAGGAUAAAGUAGAAAGAUGUGAGGUCACUAACCUUAUCAUCAUGAAGACAAAAGAAGAGACCAAAGUUAAAAAAAAAAAAAGACGAAAAAGUAGAAAAAAUUGUGAUCAUUCAUUAUUAGACCCUACACUAAUCUCUUCAGAAAAAUAAAAUAAAAUUUUAGUUUAAAUAAAGGAAUUCAAGCUGUAUAUUGAUAACGUCCAAUUCAAAUUCAAGUGUAGUACGGUCUAGCAAUAAUAAACUCAACAAAAGUUGGAGUCGAGGAGUACGCUUGUGUCAAGGUGACAGAGAGUGUGCGAAUUUGCUAACAAACAAAAGGUCUUUCUUUUAGCUAGGUCCAUAAUCCAUGUAGUGCUCUAUACUCUCUAGUCUCUAUCAACCAGCUCAAGUUUAAGGGUGUGUUUGGUAUGGAGGAAACAUUUUCUCUAGAAUAGGGAGAGAUUUGUGCAUAAACAAGGAAGAAUCUCUCAGUAUAACAGUGAAUGGGUAUUUUUUUAAGAUUUGCUUCUUUUGUGUAUGACUUUUGUAAGAAACAUUCUGGUAAAAGUUAAAAAAAAUGAUCUUGUGGAAUAGCCACAGUGAAUUCCUUAAUAUUCGAGUAGAAAAAGCCAGAGAGGAUAACAUUGCUAUUUGUACACUUAUCGUGACACGAGUAGUCUCUUAAAUAUUACACCUUUCUACUGAUGUUGCUGAUGCCACUGGAUUUAGCCUUCCGUCUUCCUUUGCAAGGUAGAUCGAGGACUCCCAAGAAAGGAAACACAAGUUACUGGAGUCUGUUCUGGCCUAUACAGUAUGUAUGUACAUAAAAUUUGGAGUAUCUAAAAACCACUGACAAAUGGCUAUACGAAAGAUCAUAUACAAUUAAAUUACAAGCCAUUUGCAAUCAUCCUGCCCCUUUAUGCAGAAUCUUUUCAAAGAAAAUGAAAACGAACAAAACAAACACUCACACAUUUGGCUUCUGAUUUGACAUUUAUUUCAGAGAACUGGCUAGUCGCUGCAGGAAAAAAAAAGACGCAAAAAAUGGAAAAUAAUAUGUUAGAUGUCCCAUAAUUAAGGAACAAGAGAACAUUAUAGCAAGAAUGAGCAUGCAGGUAUAAGAACUUACACAUUAUUGCGGCAAGAAGCAACUUCUUUCUCAAAGUCAUCAUCAUCAUCUUCAUCUGUUGUUACACUAUCGAAAAUGCUAGCUACAAAAGAUGAAAAAUGAAAUGUUACACUUCCCAAAAUCAAGAAUGAGCAUGCAAGUAUAACAAGUUACACAAUAUUGGAAGGAUUCGAAUCAAUCACAAUGACAGCAUCAAGAACUUUUGUUGAAUUGGUGUAAUUUGACUUACUAAAGCUAUUAUCCAGAUUAUUAUCGAGUUUACUAUAAUGAUGAGUUAAAUAUUGUUGUAAAUCAAGGAAGAAGAUGUCUUACUAAAGAUUACGAGUAUGGACCUCGAUAGAGCUUCCAUAGUUGUCUUGAAUGUCCUGUUGAAUUUGCUUGGCGGAAUUCCCAACAGAUUGUUGACAGUAAUGUAUAUCAAUAAGAGCUAGUGUGGUUAUAUCUGCAAAAUCUCGAGGGAUUGAAUCCAAAUACUCGCAAUUUCUAAGAAAAAGUCGUUCAAGGUACGGAAAGUGAUCACUACUAGCUCUCCAGUACCGAAUGUAUAUUUGAUCCAGAAACAAGAACUUCAAGUGAGGAAACCCUUCCUCAACUACUUCCCACUCCUCGCCUAUGACGGCAUUGUGUGAUAGUUUAAGGACCUCGAGUUUGGGUAAUUUACCAACAAUGCUCAAAUCCUUCCAUGCCAAAAGGAAAUCUCCUCUAAAAGUUAAACUCUGGAAAAGAUUAAUUAACAAAAAUUUAUGGUACUAAUUGGGGUAUUAAUUAACAUAUCCUUACUUGAUCACAUAUGUAUUGUUCUGUGUGAAAUUUUCCUCUGACUGAUAGUUGACUAAAUUAUAUUGCAUACGUUCGUGUACAUUUUCUCACUUGGAAGAGUGGAUUUGGACGUAAUUAACUAUCACCAUCGUUUAGGUAGAAAAAAGAAAAUAACUAAUAGUUGAAUGUUUUAAUACAUAGAUGAUCAACUAAUAUGAGAAGAAAAGAGUAGCGUAAAUGUGAGAUUCACUUCUCACCAAGAAUCCUCCUUUCUUAUUAUUUUCCUUUUAGAGGUUAAUAAUUAUUAAGUAUCCCUAGAAUAAUUUAUUGAAAAAGUAGAUUUGAAAGAAAGCAAUUACUCUCUUCUUCCUAUGCGGGACUUCUUGAACAUAACUAAUUUGACAAAAACCACAAUUUUAUUUAUUUUUAGGUGGAAUUAUAUCAAUAAGGAACUAUAUAUGCUUAUGAUAUUAAUCUAAGACCAUUAUUUGUUACUUGAACACAUGGAUUCAUCAUCUGAACAAUUGAAACAAUUAAUACUUGUGUGAACCUUUUUUUAUUUCGAGUGAUGUGUCAUAAUCAUUAGCCAACUAAGACUAGCGUUAAAUUUUUGGUAAGUCUCAAGAAGUGUAAUUAAUACUUAAUAAAAUAAUCUCAUCCUUGAGAUUCAAGAACUUGUUUGGAUUGAAUAGGUUUUUAUCAUCAAGAUCUAGAACAAAGUCUUAAUAUUAGUAAGAGGUAUUUUUGUGUGAAAAGUUUUCUUUGAGGUUCGAGAAAUGGAAUAGAUAUGGACUACAAGUUGAUAUUUCCCAUUGGAAAAUUCACACAAAAAGGAACAAGGAAUUCUCAAUGAAAAAAGCGCUCUCCAAAUCUGUUUAGUAUUUGUCAUGAGGUUCUUAUCAUAAUUGGAUUUUCCUUUUAGGAAAAGGUAAACACAGUCUCCAUAUUUGUCUAGUUCUUUUUCUUGUAGGAAAAAAAUUAUGACUCUAUAAAUAGAUGUUUUGUAACAUCCGACAAUUUGAAAUAGCUAAGAAGAGGCUUGAAAUUUGGAAAUUUUCAAUUUUUGGAAAGGAUUUGAAAAUCUGGAAAAUUUGGCUAAGUAUGGGAAAGGUGAGUUUUUUUGGGCCCAAACUUUGAACAACCAUAAAUUCUAGCUCAGGAUGAGUUAGGUGGAGUUCCGGUUAUGUUUGCAUAGCCCUCGGAACGACCUUUCCAACGCCACUGAGUUUGCUCAAUUCUGAGUUCGUAUGAGCGAGUUAUGGCCAUUGAAAGUUGGGCAGUUGGCAGGGAAUCCGUCCGGAAAAUUAAGGGCAUUUUAGUCUUUUCCCUAGCCAAUUCUUUUGGGAUUAUAUUGUUGUAUAGGGCUGAUCUUUAGAUCAUUUUGUCCCAUUUUAAGAAAUUAAAAUCUAGGGCUUGAGAGUGAAGAAGAGAAGAAGGAGAAGAAGAAGAGAAAAAUCGAGGAGAUCAACAAGUUUCCGACAAGAUCAUCGUGAAUGUUCGUCGGGGGUGAUCCCUAUCAAGGUAUGUGAGCUUUUAGUGUUGGGUGAUACUUUCCCCCACACACCUAGCCCCUUUUAUUUAUUAAGGAAGGAUUGGUUAUGUUGUUAAAGUUGUUAGUUGUUGUGGUUGAAGUUGUUGGAGUUGUUAAAGUUGUUAGUUGUUGUUGUUGGAAUUAUUGUUGGUGGUGGGACAUAAUUGAGUUGUGUUUUUAUGUUGAAAUCUAUUGAAUGUUGAGGGAUUUUAUGUUUCUAAGUGAUUGGGGGCUGGAAUCUUUGAGGUUAGAGGGUUUAGAGUUGGUAACGUGAAGGAGAAAGUCGGGUAGCUUGCGAGGAGCAUGUCUGCGUCGCGGACUUGUUCCUCUGUGAACAAAAAAUCUUCUCCGCGUCGCGGACAGGACGCAGACUCCACUGUUUUCAGAAUUUAUGUUCGAAGAUUUUCUUAGGUUUGGCUGUCCCAAAUCAUUCGCAAAUCAUUCCUAAACAUCAUGAGACCCUUCCAAACACCAAUCAAGUCCUUGAAUCCAUAAUCCAAUUCAAGGUGAGUUAUGAUCAAGUCAAGUGAAGUUAGUUUUCAAGUCAAGUGAAGUUAGAAGUCAAGUGAAGUUAGAGCCAAGCUUAGAAGUUAAGCAAGUCAAAGCAAGUCUUUAAAGCUUUUCAAGAGUCUUCAUUGAACGUUUUGACUUCAUUCUAAGGCUCAAGUUCCAAGUUAAGUAUAGAGUUUCAAGUCAAGCAAAGAGUCUCAAGUUUCAAGUUAAGUAAAGAGUAUCGAGUUUCAAUUUAAGUCAUAAUUUUUCAGUCAAGAGUCAAGAGUUGAGUUCAAUUCUCAAAAGUAAUUAGGGAACUAAGUAUUUCCCAAAGAAGUUUUAUAAGUGUUUUCACAUUUAAGUUGAGAGGAAACGGAGAUUUCCAAAAGAGUUUUGAGAAGUUUGAGCACUAUCUCUUUUAAAAGAAAAGAUGAGUUUUUGAAAAAGAGUUUCUAAAUUAUGAUUAGUAUGACAAAUGGAGUAUGUCAUCAAUGUUUAAACAGUAUGGUCUCUAGAUAUACCAUCAAUGUUUAAGCAGUAUGAAUAUCCCGAGUCAUCAAUGAUCAUAAAAAAAAAAAAUGUGGUUUUGACUUGUUCUAUUUAGAAAGAGUUUUCAAGUGCCUUCGGGCUAAGUUUUGAGUAAUUAUCUCAACUAAAGAAAGAUGUGCUUAAAACACUUAUGAGCUAAAGUAUUUUGGGAGUAGUAUCGAGCACCGAAUUGGGGAAACGAGUUCAUAUUAAACUCAACUCUCCAUAAGAACCAUGUAGCCAAACAUGGGAUUUCUCGGAUCAUACUUUUUAGAUGAUCACGAAAGUUAAGCUAGUGGAUCCAUUAAGCAAAAGUUAAAGUAAGGUCCUAUAUCGAUGGCAAGGUAUAGGAUGGUCCUUGGGCAACGUGAGGUAAAACGUUGUAUCACCACUCAGAUUCAUAGUGGUGGUUUGUCGGUUAGAGAAGCUCCCACAGUAGAAAGAGCAUGGUUCCUCGAGGGUUCUGCUUAGUAUGGAUGGGGGUAUGGGACUUCAUUCAUGCAUUGCACAAGUAGACUUUGAGAGGAAGCAUGGUAUUUUUAUGAUAUUAUAAAUAUGAUUUUUACGUCAUGUUUUAAUAGUUUCAAAAGCUUUAUAUAUAUUGCAUGUGUCUCAUUGCUUUAUAUUAAGUUCAGUUAUUCUUGAGUUGUACAGAGCCAAGGUAAGUUCUCUUUUGUAUCCCUUUUCAAGCUUAAGUUGUUGUUUAGCGGUCCAGCUCGCAUACUCGUACAUUCCAUGUACUGAUGCCAGUUGGCCUGCAUCUUAUGACGAUGCAGACACNNNNNNNNNNNNNNNNNNNNNNNNNNNNNNNNNNNNNNNNNNNNNNNNNNNNNNNNNNNNNNNNNNNNNNNNNNNNNNNNNNNNNNNNNNNNNNNNNNNNNNNNNNCAGUCAGUUAGUUUUGAGUCUCUCAUCUAUGUAUAUAUGUAAAUAUUCUAUUUUGAGACUCGAGUGGCCUUUUUGGCCAGAUGUGUAUCAUUUAAGUUGUUUAUGUCUUUGCAUGGCAUUGAGUUAUUCUGUUGAGUAGGUUUCCGCUGAGUUAAGAAAGCCAGGCCAAGGGUUCGCUUGGGGCCAGCAAUGGUCUCUGAGUGCCGGUCCCGCCCAGGGUGUAGGCUCGGGGCGUGACAUGUUUAUUCAUUCUAGCUUGGUAGCAUUCAUAAUGCAAUCCUAGGGGGCUUUGAGAGUUUUGUGUAUUGUGUGAAGCUAGAGGAAGAAUGUAUGAGACACAAGUAUUACUUUAACACUUGUGUGAACCUCUUUGUAUUCAGAGUGAAUUGUGUGAGGUUAUUCUUCUCUAGAUUUUAUAGUGAUUUUUUCAUCUCCUCUUGUGGAUGUAGAUCGGUUGACCGAACCACGAUAAAUGUUUGUGUCUUUUGAUAUAUUUCUUGUUUGUCUUAUUACUCAUCGUCUUUCAAGGUUUGCUUUGCUAGCUUUUGCAUGACACCUAAUUAUUUCAGUCCCAACAAGUGACAUCAGAGUCAGGUUCAAUGGUUUAAUGAUUCAAUGGUCGAACCAUGUUAAAAAUAAGUGUUCAUCUUGACGGGUUUAGUUCUAGCCGUAACAUAUUUGACAGUAAUGAAGAUUUUUGUUGGAGAAAUAUUUUCAAAGAUGUUUUCUGUGUUGAUAUAUAUAUAUAUAUAUAUAUAUAUAGAUUUUGCAGAGGAGAUGCAAGGUAUUGAAGAUUAUGUGAAGAAGGUGGAUCAAAUUUAUUUUGUCAGAAAUUUAGGCCAAUGGAGAUAUUUGUUUAGUAUUUGUCAUGAAUUUCUUAUCAUAAUUGGGUUUUUUCUUUUAGAAAAAGGAAACCACAAAGUUUCCAUAUUUGGCUAGUUCUUUUUCUUGUAGGAAAAUGUUUGACUCUAAAAUUAUAUGUGUAUUCCUUCUAGCCUAAUAGCAUUUACAAUGUAGUCCUAAGGGGCAUAGAGAGUUUUGUGUAUUGCGUGUAGCUAGGGGGAGAAUGUGUGAGACACAAGUGUUACUUUAACACUUGUGUAAACCUCUUUGUUUUUCCAUUGAAUUGUGUAAGGUUAUUCCUCUCAAUAUUUUGUACUUUCUUUUAUAUAGUGAAUUGCUCAUAUCCUCUUUUGGAUGUAGGUCGGUUGUCCGAACUACGUUGAAUAUUUAUGUCUUUUGGUAUAUUUUUCGUUUGUAUUAUUACUCAUGGUCUUUCAAAAUUUGCUUUGCUAGCUUUUGCCUGAUACCUAAUAAUUUCAGUCCCAACAAAACCAAACGUGAAAGUUGUUUUCCAGCAGACAACUUUUCUAGUAGCUCUACUCUCGACUUGGAUAAUUUAACCAAAAAGGUACGCUUUCGGCCAUUCUACAUGCUGCCUAUGUAGAGACAUGUUUAUCUAAAGUGGAUUCUCUUUUUUGUAGUAGGUAUCAAACCUGUUAUGCCCAUUGACUAAGAAGCUAGGGGUGGACACAACAACUACAUGGACCUCUUUCUUACAUCGGCCAUCACUAUUAAUCGUCUUUGUUAUCACAAUGACCACCACUAUUACCGUCAUCAAACAUCUCUGUCCUCACAAUUACCAUUAUUAUCAACCACUACUAUAUAUCAAACAUUUGCUAUAUUUAUGUUUUUUAUUGACAUAAACAAUGGGUUAACAUGAUAUAAUUUAUUAGUAGUUUUAUAUAUUUUUCUUAUAAUAAAGGAAACAAUCACUUAUACAUUCUUUGAGAUCAUUUAGUUUAAAAUCAGGAGUGGAAUCAUAACUAGGGUUAUAGCUUAGCAUCAAUUCACCUUCUUAAUUAAUGGGAUAAUUUAAUUAGCUAAAUUUGAAUGAAAAGAAGAAGAAAUUGAUUAAUUUAAUUCGUUUACGUUCCAAUGGGGUGUGCAAUAUCCAUAAAUUUGUCAUGUCGUUAUUAGGUGUUCAUGAGAUGCACAUAUUCCAAGCAAAAGUACCUAUUUGAUCACUAGAUGAGUUUAAGUAUUCAAUUUACAAAUUCUGCCAAAUUUGAGGGACUAUCUAGGUAUUAUUUAGAUAAAAUUAUUUGUAUAGUCCACUCUAAACAUACUUAUAAUUAAGCAAGUAACAUAUACUAUAUAAAGAAGCUUCUAGAGAUAAUUAAAGUUAACUCUAUAUAAUUAGAGUUGCAAUAACAAAUACGUCAAAACAUUAAAGUGUUUCACCAAUAAAGUCAUUUUUUUAAUGUCCAAAACUAAUCCAAUGGAAGCUCUAUUAUGUGGAACACCAGAAGAAGUUUCAGUAUUGUUGGUACAUCAUGAAGUAGAAUUUCUUACUAAUCAGACUGUUAAAUUGUUAGAGGCUUAUAAAUACAAAGGUGACAUUCUAGAAUUUUUUUAACUUUUUUGUUUCUUUGAUAUAAUAACUAAAUGCCGUGUGACAUUUUUUUUUAUAUAUAGAGAGAGAUUGAAAUGAUAUGCUUUUUGUUAUCUCAUUUAUGAUUUUAGCAUCGUCCAUUUUUAAAUUUCAUUUAUCUUGUAAAUCUUGAACUUUUCUUUUUCCUUGUUAUCAUAGCACUUUUUAAUUUUUACAAAUUUAUCUAUCCUCGAAGAAAAAUAAUUCUACAUUAGUGAUGGAUGCACAAGAAAUUAGGAUGACGGGAGGGAAGAGAAAGAGCACGAAAAAGACAUGAUAAGAGAUGAUCUGUCUAUCAUUAUUACUUGAGAUAAUAUUUUUUUGUCUUUUAUUGGAUGUAUAAAAAAAAAUGAGGAGAUCUAAUUUUCAUUAAAAAAACAUUUCCCUUUCUAUUUUUUGUUUUUGUUUUUCGUUGGACGUAGACAAAAAAUUGGCAACUCCUUUCUUAUACUUUGUUAGAUCAUCUAAUUACAUAUCUAUGAAAUAAAAUUACCUCAAAACAUUUUAUCCUAUUAUCUUUUGCUUUAAUAUUUAUUUGUUUUUGACAAGCCAUAAAUAAAUUGGAAUAGUUUUUAGAAAUAUAUUCUUUAGGAUCUUCUCUAGUUUUUAGUAAUCCAAUUAACGAAAAAAAAAAACUAAUAUAUACUUUUUAUGUAACCAAUCUAGUUAAGAUUGCACUCAUCAUUUAUAAUAUAAGUUGAUUAAUAUGUGUUAUUUUAAAAAUUAAAGUGCAGAAAUAUAACAUGAAAAUUCACAGUUGAAUUUGAAUAACAAACAAACAUAUCCAAAUGAUACCUUUGUGUACAAUAUUUUUUUUUUCAUAAUUUUCACUGAUUUCAAAUUGCACGGGUAUAUGUAGUUACGGAAGUUAUGGCUCCUGCGGCAAUGUCAAUGCUUUUCAAAGAAAAGAAAAAAAUUGAUGCAAUGAUAAUCAAGGUCAUUUCACCGGAUUCACAUUGCUUUGAGCUCCUGGCACAAGCUGUAACCUUGAACAUCAUCGUAGUAAGUAAGUAUUUAUAAUUCUAUCUUCCACUUAUUAUUAUAGACGGUAAAGUAAGUUUUUUUAAUUAACUAUUGCAUAAUGUAUAUAAUAUUAUUCAAUUUUAAUUGCUAUCUUCUUGAUAUAAUUAUGCAGUUGUCUAUGAUGAACUCAAUGAAUUCUUAGUGAAGAAAGCUUUGGACAAUGGAGCUUACAUUUGCUCGAAGAAGCCUCUUGUCGAGCAAACUAUGACAUUCUUGUGGCAAUUUGUAUGGAGGGAGAAAACACAAAGAGGGAAAUCAAUAAAAAGAGUAGAAACAAAGGGAGAUCAUAUUUUUGUUUGAAGUUAUUGGAGUUCUGAGAAAACAAUAGGUCGUGGUUUUUUCCUCCCUUGAGCAAAGAGGUUUCCACGUUAACAUAUGUGUUCUUACUUUAAGCAUUUAGAUUACUUCUUGUUAUCAGUAUAGUCAAGUGGUCAGAACACGAGAAGACAUGUCACUAAACAACAACAUAUAUAGGAAAAAACAAACUCUGCUAAGUGAUCGAUCCGUGUGUGAUAGUUGCCUUCUUAACCUUGAACUAUUGCUUCCUGCUAGAUUAUAUGAACUUAGAUAUGUAUACAAAUUAGUAUUCAAUGAGUUCCCAAACAUUCGUGCAUAAACAAUUUCCCCUGUUGUCGUGCCACCAGGACUUAGCAUAUGUUCUGUAUUUGUAUAAUUUCGAUGAUGAUCAUGAGAUUGCUGGGAUAAUGGAGGCAUAUUAUUAUUGUGUAUUAGACCGUGACUCCUACAUCUCGAACUAGGAGGUCUUUGUGGUAUGACUAUACCAAAAUUCUAUACCAAAAUUCGGGGCCUUAAUUUCAGAUGUUUUUGUAGCUUGACAGCGACCAUAGAGUGGAAUCAAUGUUUUUUGUGAGACUUCAGCUUUGCAAACAGGGCAAUUUGGUUGUUGGUUAUCGAUGUUCUCUGAUGAAAUGGUCUUAAAAUGUAUCCAUUUGUAGAUGCAAGGCCAACAAUAGGAGGUGACCACAUAAUGUAACAACAGGAUCAUGUACAACAUCUAGGCAAAUGUUGCACUCGAAACCUCCAGGUGAAUUUUCUUCAAGUUUAUCAAGAUCAAUUGUCUCCAUUUUUCAAAGGAAAUAUCGCGUUGAUCAAAGGUAGUUUCUGCUAUUUGGUCUUGAAAAAUUUGUUCUAAGGCCAUAUUUGCCUCUUGGUAUUGAAUUAUUUUGGUAAUGGCAAGAUGAAGAAUGGUUAGAAUUCAGGUUUUUAAUACAAUUAGAAGUGAGUAUUUAUAAGGACAAAGAAUAGUAGUUUGCAAACAAUGAUUCUUAAGGUUGUCACUUGUCAACAUCACAUUAUGUUAAAGGGGCAUGGCCAAAAAGAAAAGGCCCUACACAUUAUUAAACAACACUAUAUCAUAUUACUCAACAGUCUUGAUUUAUGGGGUAUUGUUUGAUUUGAUAUAACAUUUAAUAAGAAAAUGAAGACUUUUAAAAUAUGUACUGUAUUAAAGAUAAAAAAUAAAUUUUAAGUUUUUCGAUCCUAGAAAUGAUAUUCUUUUUAUAUUAAGACUAAAACAAAUGUUUUACAUAAAUUAAGAUAGAUGAACUAUCAAACACAUCAUAAUUAAGUGAUUUAAUGAAGUCAAAAAUAAAUAUUAAUGGAUCAUGGUUAAGUGAGAGGAGUUUUGUGCAAACACGUCUUUUAUCUAUCUAUUUGAUUUAAACAAGCAUAAGUUUUAUCAUAUUAGAAAUAUGAUUAGGACCUUAUAUUAGGCCCCAUGAUAGGAAUCUUAAUCUAGAAAAUAACUUUUAGUCAAUAAAAAGUAGCACUAGUUGCGUACAAGGAGCUACCACUUGAUGACCUUCCACACUUCCACAUCCCAUAAGUUCAAUAGUUUUCACACUAUAAGAACUAGAUGUUUUUUUCCGCGUGAAUCAAUAAAAUUUUUAGUUUUAUGUUAUAAAACAUGAUUUUUUUCAUUUUGAUUUUAUUAAACUAAUUCACUAAGAAAAUUCAUAACGAAACAUAAGUUCUCAUUGAAAUACUGGAAAUAGUCACUUGGAAAUUUAUGAGUUUUAGGAAAUUAUGCAUCAAAACUUAGAAAGACGCGGCUCAUAUAGAAAUUUGUUGUUAAAUCAUAAUAUAUACUUUUACAUCUGAAUAUCUUUAUUGAUUUGGUUAAAAUUAUAAUUAAAAAAAUUACAAUACAAUAUAUAUAGAUUCACAUAAAUUUAAUACUGUAAGUUCAAUUAUUAUUCAAUUAUUAUUAUGAUAUAUUAAUCUAAAAUUAUUAUAGAAGCUUCUAAACUCUAAAUUCAGAUCCAACUAAGGAGUGAAUAUACAUAGUGGGGGUCUGGGGGAUGGGAGAAAACAUAUGGACGGUGUGACAAAUAAAUAAAAGAAAUACUCCGUCCAUUCCAUUUGACUUAGUAUUGUUUGACUUAAUACGAUGUAUAAGAGAAAAAAAAGAUUUUAGAAAAUUAUAGGCUAAAACAAUUUUUAUAUAUUUAUAUAAUUGUAAAUCAUUUCAUUAAUUAAGGGUAGAUGGAGAAUUUUAAGUUUAAUUAUUUUCAAUUACAAUAAAAUGACAUUUUUAAAGACGGAUUAUGAGAAUAGAGUGCCACGUAAAAUAAAACGAGAAAAUACUACUCCCUCCUUCCCAUUUUAUAUGUUACCUUUUUACUUUACAUUUACAUUAAGAAAUAAUGUAACUUUACCCUUCUACCCUUAUUUAAUGUUUUCUUAAGUUAACUUUAUAACUCCCUCCGUCCCAUUUUAUAUGUCAUCUCUUUCUAUAAAUAGUUGGACCACAAUACUUGUCAUUUUAUAAAAUUUAUGUAUAAAUUACCAUAUUUUACCUAUUAUAUCCUUGAUAGAGUAGUUAAUUAAUCUUGAAAAUAUAUUCAUCAUUUAUUAUAAAUUGACUUAAGAAAAUAUUAAAUAAGAAUAGAAAGAUAAAAUUACAUCAUUUCUUAAUAAAAGUAUAAAGUAAAAAUGUGACGUAUAAAAUAGAACGGAGGGAGUACUACAAAAGAACGAGUCCGCACAUGCAUUAUACAAGUACUACAUGUGUCUCGAAUUUAGCAGCCUUUUGUCAACUUUUUAUAUUUUGGCUUACUUGGAAGCAAGUCUAUCCUCUCCUAUACAAUCAAUUAGGGUGGCCAUUAAUCAUAUAUUAUUAGGCUAAAGAUAACAUAUUGCUCCCUCCGUUUUUAAUUAUUUAUCCAUUUUUUUAGUUAUUCCUAAUUACUUGUCUAUUUUUACAAAUCAAGAAAGAACAAUUUUUUUUACCUAUUAUACCGUCAAUUUAUUACUUUGAAAAAAGUAGAACUUUUUGAAAAUCUUGAGUUUUUAAUUCAUCCACUUCAUAAUUAAUAUGGAUAAAAUGGUAAACUCACUAUUUCAAUAAUUGUUUUCUUAAUAGGUGUGCCAAUUCAAAAAUGGACAAGUAAUUAGGGAUAGAGAAAGUAUAUCGAAAUAAUAUAAUAAGAUAUUAUGCUAAAGAUAAUUAACAAAACUUUGAACAAUUAUAAAUAAGAUAGCAAAAAAAUCCAUAGUAAAUUAACAUGGUUCAACGAUUAGUGAUGGAAUCUGAAUAUGAUUCAGGAUUUUCACUAUUAAUGAAAUUCAAAAGGAAUAAUACAUAAAUGUGCCCUUUAACUUGACUUCAUUUUAUGUUUAUGUCCUUCAACUUUGGGUAUACACAAAUAUGCACCUAAACUUGUAUAAAGUUGAACAACUAGACACAUGAGUCCUACAUGACACAAUACACAUAAGAUACCACGUAGGAUAAAAAAUGCCAUGUAGGACAUGUGUGUCUAUUUUUUCAACUUUAUACAAAUUUAAAUAUCUACUUGUGCACACCCAAAGUUGAAGGGCAUAAAUGUGAUUUGAAGCCAAGUUAAAGGGUAUAUUUAUGUAUUAUGCCUAUUCAAAAUAUGAAUAAAUAAACAUAUAAAUUAGCUGACUACAAUAAUAGACAGAUAAAAAAUAAUUUUAACUAUAUGUAUAAAUAAUAUAAUUUUUCAUCGAAAGAGGUUCAUCUGAUUCCUCACUACUUUCUCUCAUUCAAAACUAAGCAAUAUGAGACUUUCAUGUCACAUGGAACCCUUUUUUUUUUUUUUGGAAAUCUCAGUAGUUCAGUUAAUUGACUGACUAUCUGAAUUCUCGAUUUCCCAUGUUGUAAUCCUCUACCCCAAUUUUUUUAUUACCUUCCUCACAUAUGUAUAAGACCGAAUCCAAAUAUCUAAGAUGAGAGAAUUUUGGGAGAGCCACCGACUCCAACUACUGCCAUAUAUUAUCCAUAUUAGAUUUGACCAACUAUCCAUCCUACCCUCCUCUACGUUCUUGACAACCCAUUUUUGUCUUAGUCAAGUCUUUUAGUGGCACGUUUUGAUCCUCUUUUCAAUUACUUAGAAAAAGUGAGUUAUUAUUCAGAUACAAAAUACUAUCAUUAUCGCCUAAAAAAUUAGACAUUCAACCCGUAAUCACAAUGAUCCAAUUACAAAAGCUCCGAACCCCCUAGGUCUAGACUGGCUCUGGCCCUAGUUUUAUCUCUUGACCUUCACAUGAGUAAACUCGUUGAUAUAGAGGAUUACAGUAUUGAUUUCUUUAAAAGAAAAAAACCUUAAUUUAAGGUAUGGAGGCCUAGAAAGGAAACACACGUUAUAUAUGGAGCCUGUUCUGGCCUAUACAGUAUAUAUGUACAUAAAAUUUGGAGUAUCUAAAGAACCACUGACAAAUGGCUACGAAAGAUCAUAUACAAUUAAAUUACAAGCCAUUUGCAAUCAUCCUGCCACCUUAAGCAGAAAAAAUGAAAACGAAUAAAACAAACACUCACACAUUUGGCUUCUGAUUUGACAUUUAUUUCAGAGAACUGGCUAGUCCUCAGAACACCUUAACUACUCGCUGCAGAAAAAGAAAAAAAAGACGCAAAAAAUGGAAAAUAAUAUGUUAGAUGUCCCAUAAUUAAGGAACAAGAGAACAUUAUAGCAAGAAUGAGCAUGCAGGUACGUAUAAGAACUUACACAUUAUUGCGGCAAGAAGCAACUUCUUUCUCAAAGUCAUCAUCAUCAUCAUCAUCUUCAUCUGUUGUCACACUAUCGAAAAUGCUUGCAACAAAAGAUGAAAAAUGAAAUGUUACACUUCCCAAAAUCAAGAAUGAACAUGCAAGUAUAACAAGUUACAAAAUAUUGGAAGGAUUCGAAUCAAUCACAAUGACAGCAUCAAGAACUUUUGUUGAAUUGAUGCAAUUUGACUUACUAAAGCUAUUAUCCAGAUUAUUAUCGAGUUUACUAUGAUGAUGAGUUAAAUAUUGUUGUAAAUCAAGGAAGAAGAUGUCUUACAAAAGAUUCACGAGUAUGGACCUCGAUAGAGCUUCCAUAGUUGUCUUGAAUGUCCUGUUGAAUUUGCUUGGCGGAAUUCCCAACAGAUUGUUUACAGUCACUUAUAUCAAUAAGAGCUAGUGUGGUUAUAUCUGCAAAAUCUCGAGGGAUUGAAUCCAAAGAAUAGCAAUCUUUAAGAAAAAGUCGUUCAAGGUACGGAAAGUGAUCACUACUAGCUCUCCAGUACCGAAUGUAUACUCUAUCCAGAAACAAGAACUUUAAGUGAGGAAACCCUUCCUCAACUACUUCCCACUCCUCGCCUAUGAAGGCAUUGUCUGAUAGUUUAAGGACCUCGAGUUUGGAUAAUUUACCAACAAUGCUCAAAUCCUUCCAUGCCAAAGAAAAUUUUCCCCUAAAAGUUAAACUCUUAAGGUUUUGUGGAAAAGCAUCCGGAGGAGGUAAGAGUAAAGUUGGAACAUCAGUUGGAGGUGCAGUUCCCCCGAAACGAGUCUGAAACCUCAGAGGAUCUUGCGGAGUAGAACCUGAAGGUGCAGUGUUUUUUAGAAAGCAAGCAAUAGGUGAAUAAUAAAUACCAAAUGUCAAUUUCUCGAGCUGAUAUAAGUAGCGAAAAUCAUACAGGUCCUUGUGAUUGCGAAAGUCCUCUGGGACGCCAAAUACUUUCAACUUCUUUAAAUUGGGAAAUAGUCUAAAAAAAGACCCUGUACAAUACCGAGGAUUCAAUUGAUUGAGGCAUUGCAAACUUUUCAAAACCAAUCUGUUCUCUGUAGGCUCAUGACUCUGCAAGUAAUUCCAGCCCAUAUGCAGCUUCCUCAAUUGUGGCAUCGUCAAAAUUUCCGAUGGUAAUAUGAAAGGAUAACUACUAUUGGGAAAUGGAAGGUAAAGUUUAAAAGUUUGCAGAUAGCAUAGGCUUGAUAUCGAUAGAGGAAUGUCUAUUAUUGAUGAGGGAACAGCUUCUUUCGAUCCUCGAUACUGCUUUAAGCAAGGCUUAAAACACAAAGAUAGGUAUCUCAAAUGAAAUAGAGAAAGUACUCCACUGGGAAAAAAUGGGCAUAUAGUCAAACCAAGAUCUAGUACUCUUACUAGCUUGAAAGACAAUGCCAGUGUGACGCAUUUGAAUCCACCCAACAUGAUAAUAGAAUGAGCCUCACUGCUACAACACCAAACCAAUUUUUUCUCAUUAUGGAUUCUGAUCCGAUUUCGACUCUUAAAGGAACACUGCAUGGAUUGUUCACAUGAAUUUUGAUAACUCUUUCCUCUGAUAACAUUCACAAAAUUCAUGUUUCGAGCUUCCCUCAAACAGAGUUCACGGGUCACAUCAUGCAUUCCACAACUUUCUAUUGUUCCACGAAAACUAAAAUUGUGGAUGAAAAUUAAGCUUCUAUCUAUAAGUUCAUUUAUACAUGUUGUUGCCACCUCUUCUAUGCUUUUUCCCUCUUCUUCAUUCAAAAACCCCUCUACGGCCCAUAAUUCAACAAGUUUAUUUACAUAAAUCUGUUCAUCCUCUGCGAAAAUUGCAAAAUACAGAAAACACGGUUUUAGGUGAGAAGGCAAGUGAUGGUAACUCAAAGCCAACACUCUCAUGCACUUUGCUUCAAGAUCUGUGCUUACCACUGAACUUACAUUCUCCGCAACAUAUUGCCACACACCCAAUGUUUUACUGAUUUUGGAGAGAAGUCCAGCAAUCACAGUAAUUGCUAGAGGUAACCCUCCACAUUUUAAUGCAAUUUGUUUCCCAAUAUUUUCAAAUUCAGGAGAAUAAGAACCUUCUUUUUCAAAGAUCUUUUUGUGUAGUAAAUUCCAACUUUCGUCAAAAUUCAUGAGGCGCAUGUGAUGAGGAGGCUUACCUGACCUAGCACAUUCAGCCACUUCCACAUUCCGAGUAGUCAGGAGUAUUCUGCUUCCAUUAUAACAGUCUGGGAAACAUAGUUUUAUAUCAUCCCAAGCUUCUGUAGUCCAUAUGUCAUCAAUGACUACCAAGUAUCUCCUGCCUUUCAGAUGCUUCUGCAAUCGGUCCGCUAGCUGAUCAUCAGGUUCAUCACUUAUCGAAGGAAGAAGGCCUAGGAUUACAUUUCUCACACAAUACUCUUGUGAAACAGUUGCUUUUGCACGAAUAUCAAAUCGAGACAUAAUGUAAGGAUCACUAUAGAGUUUUGUAGCCAAAGUUGUUUUCCCGAUACCUCCCAUCCCUACGAUUGAGACAACUUCUAGUUCCCUUCCUCCUCUAGCAAGUUGAUCCAGCAUCAUCUCAAAUUCAUUUUCACGGCCAACCAUUAUAUUCUCGGGCUGCUCAACAGCAUGUUCAGGUAAACUGACAAGUGAGCUAGUUUGUGGUUUUAGAUCUUUCAUGCUGUCCGAUGCUGCCAUCCACUGUUUCACGGUGGAAGCAAUGCAUUCUAGUGCUUGUUCCAAGACGAAAAAAAUCUCCCACAUAGCCCUGCUUCUUUCCUCCAAAUUCUGUGCUAAAAAAACAUUUCUUGAUUCCGAGUCAACCAUAUCUUCUGUUGUGUAUGCUACCUCUGCGAUUUCAACUUCCAAGAUUGUUAACCCCUCAUGAUCGCCCAUUAUAUUGCAGGAUUUCUCCAGAAUAGCUCUCAAAGAUUUGAGCUUUUCAUAAAACGGUUGCAAAUCACAUCCAGUAAGUUCCAUUGAUUGAUGUAUGGUUCUCAUAAGGGAAGUAACAGCAGCAUAAGCCAUAUAUCCAAAAAAUAGAAAUAUCUCUCAGUAUGAAAAUGGACAAAUUGCCACAAGUUAUGUAAUUUUUCAGUUUUUAAGAAAACAGAAAAUGCAAAGUUCUUUCUUUUACUAGCUAUUUCCAUCACAUUUCCAGCUAGGUCCACCAACCUUAUCAUCAUGUAGACAAAAGCAGAGACCAAAGUUAAAAAAAAAAGAAAAAAGGCAGGACUCUAACAGGAAAAAGUAGAAAAAAUUGUGACCAUUCAUUAUUAGACCCUACACUUAUCUAUUCAUGAAUAUAGGUAUGUUUCUUACAUACAAGAGAUUGAUGAUUUUAAUUCCAUUGAAAGCAACUUCGUAGAAUUUUCCAAAUCAAAGAGAGAGAAAUAUUAAGAUCCAAGUAGGAAUUUCUCUAUUCCUAGUUCGAUUCAAUUAACCAAGCAUAAAUAUCUCUUUAAAUAUAUAUGAGAAGUUUAGACUCUAAAAGUCAAAUCAACAAAAUAUUUAUGGGCUAACACAUGAAAAACUAUUGAGAAAAUUGCCUAAUUUCUGUAAAUUGGCCCUUAAAUCUCCAAAAUGGACUCUAAAAAUUGUCAGACUGUACGUAUUGCUCCCAACUCCCUACUAAGGGUUCUGUAAUUUCGAUUAGAAUUCGCCCGUAAGUCAUAUCACCAAUAUAUUAAUGACUAACACACACGAAAAACUAAGAAAAUUGUCUAAUUUCUUGAAAUUGGCCCCUAAAUGCCUAAAAUGGACUCUAAAAAAUUGUCAGACUGUACGUAUUGCUCCCAACUACCUACUAAGGGUUCUGUAAUUUCGAUUAGAAUUCGCCCGUAAGUCAUAUCACCAAAAAUAUUAAUGGGCUAACACACACAAAACACUGAGAAAGUCGCCUAUUCCUGUAAAUUGGCCCCUAAAUGCCCAAAAUGAACUCUAAAAUUGUGAGACUAUGUACUGCUCCACUAACUCCCUAUGGAGGGUUCCGUAAAGAUUUCACAAAGAAAUUAUUCGGAAGAUAUAUCACCAAAAUAUUUAUGGGCUAAUACAUUUUUAUUUGUCCAUUUGAUUUGAUAUAUCUUUCAAGUACUUUGAUCCGGUUAUACUUUUUUUUUAUUGCUAAAAAUAAAUAUCCACUUUUACUUGUUCAUUCUACAAAACAAAGACAAUAUUUUAUUGCUUGAUUCAGAUAUAAAAUUUGAGUAGGCUAAUUUACAAACCAUCUGUAGUCAUCCUGCCCCUAUGCUAUAACAUUUGAAAGAAAGAGGUCAUCAUCAUCAUAUUCAUCAUCGUUGUCAUCUUCAUCUUCAUCUUCAUCAUCAUCUUCAUCUUCAUCAUCAUCUUCAUCAUCAUCUUCAUCUUCUUCAUCAUUAUCAUCAUCAUCAUCAUGAUCGUCAUCGUCACUUGUUUCCUCACUGUUGAAAAAGCCAGCAACAAAAGAUGAAAAAUGAAAUGUUAUGCAAGUAUAACAAGUUACACAAUUACUAUAUUGGAAGGAUUUAAAUCAUAUACAAUGACAACGUAUGAACUUUUACACUAUAGGUGCCAUUUAACUGCUUAUUAAAGCAACUUAUAAUUAUUUUAUUACUAGUUCUGGACACAUGCUUUGCAUGUGUAUAUUACACGUUUAGUCACGAUUGUAAGAGGGUGUACACCAGGAUCAUUCGAAGAGCAAAGUCGUGUGAGCCUUACAGAUAUUCUUGACGUACUCCUAUUAAAAUCUGUAUCAUAAUAUCUGAUGAAAUCAGCUACUGAUCAGUCAAGCUCUCCAUUGAUGUAGACUUCAACUACACAUGAGAAAGAAUGAGAGAAGAAGAGAGAAGAGAAGAGAAGAAGAAUCUAGAAGAGCAACAUGAAAAUUAAUCUCUCAUUGAAUGUGAAUUAAAACUACAAGAAUUACAAUGUGACUAUAUAUAUAUAAUCACUGGCAGAAAUUAACUAACUAACAAACUUGAUUCUAACUAACUCUACUGUACAUAGAUUCUAACUAACUCUACUGUACAUAACCGACUCUACUGUACAUAACUAACUAAUUAUACUUUAUAUUCUCAUCACCCCCCCUCAAGUUGGAGGUGAUGUAAUUACAGACAACUUGUGCAAUAAGGCAGUAUGUUUAACUCCAGUCAGAGCCUUGGUGAAGAUGUCUGCCAACUGUGAAUCAGUGGGAAUAUGAUGGAGUGUGAUUAGGCCUUGUUGAAGCUUGGUCCUAACAAAGUGACAAUCGAUUUCUAUGUGCUUUGUCCUCUCAUGAAAAACUGGAUUCUUUGCAAUGUGGACUGCUGCUUGACUGUCACAAUGGACAGGGAUAGGUAAGGAGCAUUGUACAGUCAACUCAUCCAACAAUCGUUCAAGCCACACUAGUUCUCCUACAACUUGUCUCACAGCUCUAUAUUCAGCUUCAGCAGAUGACAAAGACACUGUUGCUUGCUUCUUAGACUUCCAGCUGACAGGACUAUCACCCAGAAGCACUAGGUAUCCACUAACAGACUUCCUGGAAUCAGGGCAAGCAGCCCAAUCAGAAUCACAAUAAGCACUGAUAGUGAGAUCAGGCUUGUUUGAGAUAAAAAUUCCCAAUGUUGGAUCCUGUUUCAAAUAUCUGAGCACAUGGUAUGCUGCUUUUAAAUGUGGUUCCCUAGGUGAUUGCAUAAAUUGGCUCAAGUGUUGUAUACUAUAAGCUAUGUCCAUUCUAGUGUUGGUCAAAAAAUUUAGCUUACCAACCAACUUCCUGUAUUGAGUAGGAUCAGAUAAAAGAUUGCCAUCUGUAGCUGUUAACUUCUCAGUGCAAUCAAGUGGUGAUGUAGUGGCCUUGUGACUUAACACAUCAAAAUCUUUCAGGAGAUCAGAAGUGAAUUUCCUUUGUGAAACUAGCACUCCAUCAUGUCUGUAUAAUAUUUCCAGUCCCAGAAAGUAGUGUAGUUUGCCCAAAUCCUUUAUCUUGAACUGAUCAUUUAAGAAGCUCUUUAAGGAGUUGAUUUCAGCCACAUCUGUUCCAGUUAGAAUUAUGUCAUCCACAUAUACAGCAACAAACACCAAGGAGCAGCCCUUCCUUUUGUAGAACAGUGAGUAAUCACUGUCUGAGUGCUGAUACCCUCUUGAACAUAGACAGUUUGCCAACUUCUCAUACCAUUGCCUGCUGGCCUGUUUUAGUCCAUACAAAGACUUCUUCAAUUUGCACACCAUGUUAUCACAACCUACUACAAGACCUUGUGGAGGUGCCAUGUACACUUCCUCAUGCAAAUCACCAUGUAAGAAUGCAUUAUUGACAUCUAGCUGAUACAAGCUCCAAUCUUUCUUAACAGCUAAAGAGAUUAAUGUUCUAACAGUAGUCAUUUUAACUACAGGUGAGAAGGUUUCAGUGUAAUCUACCCCAACUUGUUGUGUAUAACCUUUGACCACCAACCUACACCCCAGCUUGUUGUGUAUAACCUUUGACCACCAGCCUAGCCUUGAACCUCUCCACACUCCCAUCAGCUUUGUGCUUGAUUUUGUACACCCACUUGCACCCAAUAGCUUUCUUCCCAUCAGGUAACAUGACCAUCUCCCAAGUGUCAUUAGCAUACAAAGCUUCAAACUCCUGUGUCAUGGCCUGCUGCCAGGCAGGGUGCAAUAUUGCUUCCUCAAAUGAAAUAGGCUCACAUUCAUGUGAAAUGGUUGUUACUAACUGCUGACUAUCAGAACAAAGACUGGUGAAACAUACAUGUUUAUGGGGAGAUAUAAAGGAAGUGAGGGAGUGCAGCUUAGGUAUAGUGUAGGUGUAUUCUUUUAGGUAAUUAGGAGUGUGUAUGGUUCUGGUUGUUCUUCUAGGUGCUGAUAUUGUAGGUACUGGUAAAGUAUCAUGAUGCAUGGUGGCAUUUGGAUCAGGUAAGGUAGGUUGAGUUGUAGUAGGUUGAGUUGUAGGUUCAUGUAGGACAGCAGGUGGUACUUCAUUCAUGUUGGUAUUACUGGUUACUUGAUUAUUAGUGACUUCAUGUGGUGUGAAAUUUUCCAGUUGAUCAUCAUUAGCAAAAAUGUUCAUUUUACCAGACAUACAAGGCAUGCUAGUGGUAUGAGUAAGCAUUUGCAGAAUGGAAUUGAAACUAGAACCAUCAGGGGCAAUAACAAAAGGAAAAAUAUUUUCUUGAAAAAUAACAUCUCUUGAUAUAUGAACUUUCUUGGUAGCUAAAUUCAAAACUUUGUAACCUUUUGUAUUGAAAGGGUAACCAACAAAAACAUGAGGUGUGGUUCUAGGUUCAAAUUUAUCUUUGUGAGUUUUCAAGGUAGUGGGGAAACAAAGACAACCAAAACUCUUAAGGUGGGAAUAUGUAGGUGAUUUAUGGUACAACAUUUCAUAUGGAGAUUUAUUCUGUAAAAGUUGAGUGGGCAGUCUAUUAAUCAGGUAUGUGGCAGUCAAUACACAUUCCCCCCAGUACCUCAUAGGCAACUUUGACUGAAACAAAAGUGCCCUUGCUGUUUCAAGUAGGUACUUAUGUUUCCUUUCUACCACCCCAUUUUGUUGAGGUGUAUAAGGACAAGUUCUUUGGUGUAUGAUACCUUGUUUUGGAAGAAAUUUGUGGCUUCAGCUGAAGUAAACUCUAACCCAUUGUCAGAUCUUAUGGCUUUUUAACUUGGUUUGGAAUUGGUUUUCUAUGAGAGAUAUGAAGGCUUUGAUAGUUUGGAGAGCAUUACUCUUACAUCUCAGCAAUUGUGUCCAAGUGGACCUACUGUGGUCAUCUACCAUAGUGAGGAAAUAAUGAUAUCCAUCAUGAGUGGGAACAUGAUAUGGUCCCCAUAGGUCAACAUGUAACAACUCAAACACUUUAGUGGUGGUGGUGAUACUUUCUGGAAAAGGCAUCCUAGUUUGCCUAGCCAUAGGGCAUAUAUUGCAAGUAAAAGGCUGUUUAGGAGAAAAAUGAACAGGUAUAGUUGAGAUAUUUUUCAUUUUUACAAAAGGUACAUGUCCUAAUCUAGCAUGCCACAAAAGUUCAUCAUCAUGAGUGUGAUUAGAGACAUUUGUAAAUGAAGGACAAGCAUGAGUAAAACAAGAGGAAGGAAAAACAGUACAAUCUGCCUUAUUCAUAGGAGAGUAUUUUACAGAAGAACCAGUGGACACAUUAGAAUCUGAAACCCUGCUAGUAUUGCCUAAAGAAGAGACAAGAGGACAAUUAACAUGAGGUGCUUUACUCUCAGCAGAUGGACAACAAUUGUGGCAUUUGUGACACAAGAAGUACAGGCCAUUCUUGGCUUUACCAAGUUCCAGAGGGCUCUUCAGAGAAGGGCCCUGCAGCAAACAAGAAGAUUUGUCAAAGCUGACUACACCAUUGAAUUGUAGUGCUAAACAAUGAACAGAAAUGAGAUUAAACUUGAAGCUAGGUACAAACAACACUUUGCUUAGAGUCAAAGCUGGAUUUAAACAAGCAUCACCAAUUUCAGUCACUUUAACCUUGUAACCAUUAGGGAGUGAAAUUAGAAAGGGAUAUGGAAGUGAAAUGAUGUUUGUGAGGGUGGUCUUAUCAUAGGUCAUAUGGUGUGAUGCUCCUGAAUCUAUGAUCCAAGAGCCAGCAGUCAGUUUAACACAUUUACAAGAAAGAUCACCUAUAUCAGUAAUAGAGGAAUAACAUGCAAGUAUACCUGCCAAGUUCACAGCUCCAUUCAGCAUGUUGUUUGAGUUGUCUGAGGCUCCAUUUCCAACUUGUAAAGUUCCCAGGAGAUUGAGUAGUUGUUCAUAUUGAUCUUUGGACAAGUUCAAUGGCAUUUGUCUCCUUACUUCAGGUUCCUCUUCAGAUUGAACUCCAUUCAUAUCAGGGGCACACACAUUUGCUGCAGCUUUUCCCUUUUUGAACCUUGGAUUUGGAUUGGAUGGGUAUCCAUGAAGCUUGUAACAUCUAUCCUUUGUGUGUCCUGAUUUCUUACAGUAGUCACAAAACAAAGAAGACUUGCCAGUGCUAGAAUUGCCUCUAAACCCAGUAUUACCAGAAUUGGUUCCACCUCCUCCAGAUGAACUGUAGUUUGUCCGGAAUCCCCUGUAUCCUGCACUGCUGUUGGUCUGUCCAUAAGCAUUGAGAGAGGUAGAAUCCAAGGCUGUAUGAUUAUGAGGCUUCACCUCCCUUUGUUUUUCCUCUUGGGAUAAUAUGGCAAAAGCUUGAGCCAUGCUUGGAAGUGUGUUCAUCAUGAGAAUGCUGCCUCUGACAGUCGUAUAUAUCUCAUUCAAUCCCAUUAGAAAAUGUAUCAAUCUUCUGUCUUGUUCAGCCUUGUGUAAUUUGCUUUUACCCCCACAAAUGCACACACAAGUACACUGAGAAUUGACAUCAAUGGUACUCAUUUCCUCCCACAACUUCUUCAUUCUUGUGUAAUAUCCAGUGAUGUCUAAAGUGCCUUGGACCAGAUCAUUAAUUUCCUUCUGCAGUUGAUACAAUUUACACCCAUUGGUUUGAUCGUACCUUUCUUCUAGUUCUCCCCAAAGCUCCUGAGCAUUAUUGACAUACUGCAGACUAUCACGCAAAUCUGGUGACAAGGAAUUCAGGAUCCAAGAUGUGACCAUAUCAUCACACCUUUCCCAUUGCUGAAAGCUAGGAUCAGUAGGAUCAGGUCUCACAACCUUCCCAUUAAUGAAUCCUGUCUUGCUCUUAACAGAUAAAGCCCUGAGAACUGCUCUUCUCCAGGAUCUGUAACCAGUUCCAUCAAAAACUGCAGGUAAUAGGGAUGAACUUGCAUUCUCAGAUGGAUGCAAGUAGAAAGGACUAGGGAUUUCUACCCUAACAGUGGAUGCAGAAGCAUUUGGAAUGGAAUCAUUUGAAGAAUCGACCAUUGUGAAUUGAAAAUUGGGAAGAAGAUCAAGUCGAGAACAACCAGAUCAAACAGCGUUCACAAACAAAAUUGACAGAUCGAAGAUCCAGUCGAGAUCAACCAGAUCAAAGAAAAAAUUCACAUAAGAGAAAACGAAGCUCACAGAUUGAAUUGGAAACAAAAAAAAACAGGAGCAAUUCCCUGUGCUUUGAUACCAUGAUGAAAUCAGCUACUGAUCAGUCAAGCUCCUCCAUUGAUGUAGCUUCAACUCACAUGAGAAAAGAUGAGAGAAGAAGAGAGAAGAGAAGAGAAGAAGAAUCUAGAAGAGCAACAUGAAAAUUAUCUCUCAUUGAAUGUGAAUUAAAGAAGUGAGUAUUACAAUGUAUCUGUAUAUAUACACAAUCACUAAGCAACUAAUAAUCAUUGGCAGAAAUUAACUAACUAACAAACUUGAUUCUAACUAACUCUACUGUACAUAACCGACUCUACUGUACAUAACUAACUAAUUAUACUUUAUAUUCUCAUCAAUAUCCCUUUUUUCAAAUUUCAUAGCUGAACUACUAGGUGUGCGAGUUCCUACCAGAACUAUUACCAACUAUUUAUCAAAACACACAUCAACUAUAUAUGAGUUGUUCCCUUUUACUAGUGGUGAAAAAUAGGUGGAUUUGGACGGGACUGAAAAUGGAUUGAGCAACAUGGUCGUAACUCACUUUAAUCUCUUAAAGCCAGAAAACUUUAAAGAGUUAAUUGAAAUAAACUUAAUGACUAUCCUACUUGAAGUAUCACCAUCGUUCAGGUAAGAAAAAGGAAGUAAAUCAAGGAAGACGAUGUCUUACAAAGCCUGAUGGAUAUGGACCUCGAUAGAACCUCCAUAGUUGUCUUGAAUGUCCUGUUGAAUCUGCUUUGCGGAAUUCCCAACAGAUUCUGGGCAGUUUCUUAUAUCAAUUAGAGCAAGUGUGGUUAUAUCUGCAAAAUCUUGAGGGAUUGAGUCCAAAAACCUGCAACUAUCAAGAAAUAGUCGUUCAAGGCACGGAAAGUGAUCACAACUAGCUCUCCAGUACUGAAUAUGUGAUCUUUUAAGUAACAAGAACUUCAAAAAAGGAAACCCUUCCUCAGCUACUUCCCACUCCCUGCCUCUGCAUACACCCUGUGUUAGUUCAAGAAGUUCAAGUUUGGGCAAUUUUCCGACAACAAUGCUUAAAUCCUUCCAUGACAAGAAGAAAUUUCCUGUAAAAGUUAAAUUCUUAAGGUUUCGUGGAAAAGCAUCUGGAGGAGGUAAGAUCAAAGAUGGAACAACUUCUACAACAAGUGGAUUCCUUGUCUGAAAACACAUUCUCCUCUCCAAAAAGUAAGCAUUAUUUUGAGGAGGAAGACAAAAUGCUAGUUCCUCGAGAUGAUCUAAGUAGCGAAAAUCAUAGAGGUCUUUGUGACUAUGGAAGUCUUGUGGGAUGCCACGUACUUGCAACUCCUUUAAAUUGGGAAAUAGUCUAAAGAAAGAUGCAGUACAAUAGCUAGGAUUCCAUCCAAACAGAGAAUGUAAAUUUUUCAUAACCAAACUUUUCUCUGUAAGCUCAUGAUAUCGCAAGUAAUUCCGAUCCAAAUGAAGGUGCCUCAACUGUGGCAUAGUCAAAAUUUCUGAUGGUAAUAUCAAAGCAUGUUUACGAAGAUUAAUAACGAGUGGAAGGUAAAGUACCAAACUUUGCAGAUAGCAUAGGUUUGAUAUGGAUGUAGGAAUGUCUACUCUUGAUGAGAGAACAUCUUCUUCGGAUCCUAGAUAUUGCUCAACGUUAGGAUAAAUACGCAAAGCUAGGUGUCUUAAGUGAAUCAAAUAAAGUAUUUCACGGGGAAAAGUUAGACAGAUAUUAUCAGCAAGAUCUAGAACUCUUACUAGCUUGAACGGCAAGUACUCCCUCAUGCAACAUCGGAAUCUACCAAAUAAGAUAACAGAAUGAGCUUCACUGUUAAGGCACCUAACAUACUCUUUCUUAUUAUGGAUGCUGAUUCGACCUCGACUCUUAGACAAACACUGCAUAGAUUUCACACAUGGAUUUUGAUCAUUCUUACUUCCGAGAACAUUCACAAAAUUCAUGUUACGAGCUUCCAUCAUACAGAGUUCACGAGUCGUAUCAUGAAUUCCACAACACUUAAUUUUUCCAUCAAAAGUAGUACUUUCUAUGGAAAUUAAACUUCUAUCAAUAAGAUCUUGUAGGUACUUUUCUGCCACUUCUUCUAUGCUUUUCAUCUCUUCUACCUUCAAAAAUCCCUCUGUUUCCCACAAUAUCAUAAGUUUAUUGACAAAAAUCAGUUUAUCCUCUGGGAAGAUUGCGAAAUAUAAAAAGCAUGGUUUUAGGUGGUGAGGCAAGUAAUGGUAACUCAUUGCCAACACCCUCAUGCAUUGGACACCAACAUCUGUGCUUACUGCUGAACUUACAUUUUCAGCAACACUUUGCCACUCACUCAAUGCUUUGUCAAUUUUAGUGAGAAGUCCCGCGAUCACAACAAUUGCUAGAGGCAAUCCUCCGCAUUUCAAUGCAAUUUGCUUUCCAAGUUGUUCAUAUUCAGGGGAGAAAGAGUCUUUCGUAAAGACUUUUUCAUACAAUAAACUCCAACUUUCGUCAAAAUUCAUGAGGCGCAUGUGAUAAGGAGGCUUACCUGAGCUAGCAUAUUCAGCCACUUCCACAUUCCGAGUAGUCAAGAGUAUUCGGCUUCCAUUAUGAAAGUCUGGGAAACAUAUUUGUAUAUCAUCCCAAGCUUUUGUAGUCCAUAUGUCAUCAAUGACUACCAAAUAUCUCUCACCUUUUAGAAGCUUUUGUAGUCGAUCUGCUAGUUGCCCGUCAUGUAGCUGAUCAUAAGGUUUAUCACUUAUACAAGAAAGAAGGUCUAGGAAAACAUUUCUCACACAAUACUCUUGUGAAACAGUAGCUUUAGCACGAAUGUCAAAACGAUACAUCAUGCAUGGAUCGUUGUAGAGUUUCGUAGCCAAAGUUGUCUUGCCAAUGCCUCCCAUACCUACAAUUGAUACAACUGCUAGUUCUCUUUCUCCUCUAGCAAGUUGAUCCAGCAUCAUCUUGAAUUCAUUUUCAUAGCCAACCAUUAUAUCCUCGGACCGCUCAACAGCACGUUCAGGUAUCUUGGAUAGACAAAAAUUUUGUGCUUUGAAAUCUUUAAAGUUGUUGUACCAGUCCCAUAUUGCCAACCACUGCAUCAUGAAGGAAUCAAUGCAUUCUACCUCUUGUUCCAAGGAACAACAGAGUUCCCAGAAAGCUUUGCUUCGUGUAAUUACAGUUUCUGCGGAAGAAACUUUUCUUGAUUUCGAAUCAACCAUGUCUUCUGCUUUGUAUGCUACCUCCGCGAUUUCAACUUCCAAGGUUGUUAACCCCUCAUGAUCUCCCGUUAUAUUGCAGGAUUUCUCCAUAAUAGCUCUCAAAGAUUCAAGCUUUUCAUAGAAUGGUUGCAAAUCACAUCCAGUAAGUUCCAUUGACUGGUGUAUGGUUCUCAUAAGGGAAGUAACAGCAGCAUAAGCCAUAUAUCCAAAAAAUAGGAAUCUCUCACACUCAGUAUGAAAAUGGACAAAUUAAUUGCCACAAGUUAUGUAAUCUUUCUUUUACUAACUAUUUCCAUCACAUUUCUAGCUAGGUCCACUAACAGGUAAAGUAGAAAGAUGUGAGGUCCCUAACCUUAUCAUCAUGUAGACAAAAGAAGAGACCAAAGUUUUUAAAAAAAAGACAGGAAAAAGUAGAAAAAUUUGUGAUCAUUCAUUAUUAGACCCUACACUAAUCUCUUUAGAAAAAUAAACUAAAAUUUUAGUUUAAAUAAAGGAGUUCAAGCUGUAUAUUGAUAACGCCCAAUUCAAAUUCAAGUGUAGUACGGUCUAGCAAUAAUAAACUCAACAAAUGUUGGGGUCGAGGAGUAUGCUUGUGUCAAGGUGACAGAGAAUGCGAAUUUGCGAAUUUCCUAAGCUUAUCUACAAAUAAAAGGUCUUUCUUUUAGCUAGGUCCAUAAUCCAUGUAGUGCUCUCUACUCUCUAGUCUCUAUCAACCAACUCAAGUUUAAGGGUGUGUUUGGUAUGGAGGAAACAUUUUCUCUAGAAUAGGGAGAGUUUUGUGCAUAAACAAAGAAGAAUAUCUCAGUAUAACAGUGAAUGUGUAUUUUUUUUAUGAUUUGCUUCAUUUGAGUAUGACUUUUGUAAGAAAAUUCUGGUAAAAGUUUAAAAAAUGAUCUUGUGGAAUAAGCACAGUGAAUUCCUUAAUAUUCGAGUAGAAAAAGCCAGGGAGGAUAACAUUGCUAUUUGUACACUUAUCGUGACACGAGUAGUCUCUUAAAUAUUACACCUUUCUACUGGUGUUGCUGGUGCCACUGAAUUUAGCCUUCCGUCUUCCUUUGCGAGGUAGAUUGAGGACUCCCAAGAAAGGAAACACAAGGUACUGGAGUCUGUUCCGGCCUCUACAGUAUGUAUGUACAUAAAAUUUGGAGUAACUAAAAAACCACUGACAAAUGGCUAUACGAAAGAUCAUAUACAAUUUAAUUACAAGCCAUUUGCAAUCAUCCUGCCCCUUUAUGCAGAAUCUUUUCAAAGAAAAUGAAAACAAACACUCACACAUUUGGCUUCUGAUUGACAUUUAUUUCAGAGAACUGGCUAGUCCUCAGAACACCUUAACUACUCGCUGCAGAAAAAAAAAGACGCAAAAAAUGGAAAAUAAUAUGUUAGAUGUCCCAUAAUUAAGGAACAGGAGAACAUUAUAGCAAGAAUGAGCAUGCAGGUAUAAGAACUUACACAUUAUUGCGGCAAGAAGCAACUUCUUUCUCAAAGUCAAUAUCAUCAUCUUCAUCUAUUGUUACACUACAUCGAAAAUGCUUGCUACAAAAGAUGAAAAAUGAAAUGUUACACUUCCCAAAAUCAAGAAUGAGCAUGCAAGUAUAACAACUUACACAAUAUUGGAAGGAUUCGAAUCAAUCACAAUGACAGCAUCAAGAACUUUUGUUGAAUUGGUGUAAUUUGACUUACUAAAGCUAUUAUCCAGAUUAUUAUCGAGUUUACUAUAAUGAUGAGUUAAAUAUUGUUGUAAAUCAAGGAAGAAGAUGUACUUACUAAAGAUUACGAGUAUGGACCUCGAUAGAGCUUCCAUAGUUGUCUUGAAUGUCCUGUUGAAUUUGCUUGGCGGAAUUCCCAACAGAUUGUUGACAGUAACUUAUAUCAAUAAGAGCUAGUGUGGUUAUAUCUGCAAAAUCUCGAGGGAUUGAAUCCAAAUAAUAGCAACUUCUAAGAAAAAGUCGUUCAAGGUACGGAAAGUGAUCACUACUAGCUCUCCAGUACCGAAUGCAUACUUCAUGCAGAAACAAGAACUUCAAGUGAGGAAACCCUUCCUCAACUACUUCCCACUCCUCGCCUAUGAAGGAUUUCCAUGAUAGUUUAAGGACCUCGAGUUUGGGUAAUUUACCAACAAUGCUCAAAUCCUUCCAUGCCAAAAAGAAUUCUCCGCUAAAAGUUAAACUCUUAAGGUUUUGUGGAAAAGCAUCCGGAGGAGGUAAGCGUAAAGUUGAAACAUCAGUUGGAGGUGCAGUUGCCCUGAAAGGUAAGAGUAAACUUGUAUAAAGUUGAACAACUAGCCACAUGAGUCCUACAUGACACAAUACACAUAAGACACCAACUAUUUCCAUCACAUUUCCAGCUAGGUCCACUAACAGGAUAAAGUAGAAAGAUGUGAGGUCACUAACCUUAUCAUCAUGUAGACAAAAGAAGAGACCAAAGUUAAAAAAAAAAAAGACAGGAAAAAGUAGAAAAAUUUGUGAUCAUACAUUAUUAGACCCUACACUAAUCUCUUUAGAAAAAUAAGUUUCAAUAAAGGAGUUCAAGCUGUAUAUUGAUAACGUCCAAUUCAAAUUCAAGUGUAGUACGGUCUAGCAAUAAUAAACUCAACAAAAGUUGGGGUCGAGGAGUACACUUGUGUCAAGGUGACAGAGAGUGUUCUGGCCUAUACAGUAUGUAUGUAUGUACAUAAAAUUUGGAGUAUCUAAAGAACCACUGACAAAUGGCUAUACGAAAGAUCAUAUACAAUUAAAUUACAAGCCAUUUGCAAUCAUCCUGCCACCUUAUGCAGAAAAAAUGAAAAUUCUGAUUUGACAUUUAUUUCAGAGAACUGGCUAGUCCUCAGAACACCUUAACUACUCGCUGCAGAGAAAAAAAAAAGACACAAAAAAUGGAAAAUAAUAUGUUAGAUGUCCCAUAAUUAAGGAACAAGAGAACAUUAUAGCAAGAAUGAGCAUGCAGGUAUAAGAACUUACACAUUAUUGCGGCAAGAAGCAACUUCUUUCUCAAAGUCAUCUUCAUCUGUUGUUAUAUCGAAAAUGCUUUCUACAAAAGAUGAAAAAUGAAAUGUUACACUUCCCAAAAUCAAGAAUGAACAUGCAAGUAUAACAAGUUACACAAUAUUGGAAGGAUUCAAAUCAAACACAAUGACAGCAUCAAGAACUUUUGUUGAAUUGGUGCAAUUGGACUUACUAAAGCUAUUAUCCAGAUUAUUAUCGAGUUUACUAUGAUGAUGAGUUAAAUAUUGUUGUAAAUCAAGGAAGAAGAUGUCUUACAAAAGAUGACGAGUAUGGACCUCGAUAGAGCUUCCAUAGUUGUCUUGAAUGUCCUGUUGAAUUUGCUUGGCGGAUUUCCCAACAGAUUGUCGACAGCUACUUAUAUCAAUAAGAGCUAGUGUGGUUAUAUCUGCAAAAUCUGGAGGGAUUGAAUCCAAAUCAUAGCAAUUUCUAAGAAAAAGUCGUUCAAGGUACGGAAAGUGAUCACUACUAGCUCUCCAGUACCGAAUGUAUAUGUUAUCCAGAAACAAGAACUUCAAGUGAGGAAACCCUUCCUCAACUACUUCCCACUCCUCGCCUAUGACGGCAUUGUCUGAUAGUUUAAGGACCUCGAGUUCGGGUAAUUUACCAACAAUGCUCAAAUCCUUCGAUGCCAAAAAGAAUUCUCCGCUAAAAGUUAAACUCUUAAGGUUUUGUGGAAAAGCAUCCGGAGGAGGUAAGAGUAAAGUUGGAACAUCAGCUGGAGGUGCAGCUUUCCCGAAUUGUGUCUUUUUGUACAAUAAUUUCGUCUGAAACCUCAGAGGAUCUUGCGGAGUAGAACCUGAAGGUGCAGUGCUUUCUAGAACGCAAGCAGCACCUGGAUAAUAAACACGAAAUGCCAAUUUCUCGAGCUGAUAUAAGUAGCGAAAAUCAUACAGGUCCUUGUGAUUGCGAAAGUCCUCUUGGACGCCAAAUACUUUCAACUUCUUUAAAUUGGGAAAUAGUCUAAAAAAAGACCCUGUACAAUUCCGAGGAUUCAAUUGAUUGAGACAUUGCAAACUUUUCAAAACCAAUCUGUUCUCUGUAGGCUCAUGACUCCGCAAGUAAUUCCAGCCCAUACGCAGCUUCCUCAAUUGUGGCAUCGUCAAAAUUUCCGAUGGUAAUAUGAAAGGAUAACUAUCGGUAAAUGGAAGGUAAAGUUUAAAAGUUUGCAGAUAGCAUAGGCAUGAUAUCGAUAGAGGAAUGUCUAUUAUUGAUGAGGGAACAGCUUCUAUCGAUCCUCGAUACUGCAGUAAGCAAGGAUUAAAACACAAAGAUAGGUAUCUCAAAUGAAUUAGAGAAAGUACUCCACUGGGAAAAAUUGGGCAUGGAGUCCAACCAAGAUCUAGUACUCUUACUAGCUUGAAAGACAAUUCCAGUGUGAUGCAAUUGAAUCCACGCAACAUGAUAAUAGAAUGAGCCUCACUGUUACGACACCAAGCCAAUUCUUCCUCCUUAUAGAUACUGAUCCGACUUCGCUUCUUAAAGGAACACUGCAUGGAUUGUGCACAUGAAUUUUGAUCACUCUUUCCUCUGAUAACAUUCACAAAAUUCAUGUUUCGAGCUUCCCUCAAACAGAGUUCACGGGUCACAUCAUGCAUUCCACAGCUCUGUAUUUCCCCAUCAAAACUCAAUUUGUGGAUAGAAAUUAGACUUCUAUCUACAAGUUCGUUUAUACAUGUUUCUGCCACCUCUUCUAUGCUUUUUCCCUCUUCUUCAUUCAAAAACCCCUCUACGGCCAAUAACUCAACAAGUUUAUUUACAAAAAUCCGUUCAUCCUCUGCGAAAAUUGCAAAAUACAGAAAACACGGUUUUAGGUGAGAAGGCAAGUGAUGGUAACUCAAAGCCAACACUCUCAUGCAUUGUGCUUCAGGAUCUGUGCUUACCACCGAACUUACAUUCUCCGCAAUUCUUUGCCACUCAUCUAAUCUUUGACCGAUUUUGGAGAGAAGUCCAGCAGUCACAGUAAUUGCUAGAGGUAAUCCUCCACAUUUUAAUGCAAUUUGUUUCCCAAUAUUUUCAAAUUCAGGAGAAUAAGAACCUUCUUUUUCAAAGAUCUUUUUGUGUAGUAAAUUCCAACUUUCGUCAAAAUUCAUGAGGCGCAUGUGAUGAGGAGGCUUACCUGAACUAGCAUAUUCAGCCACUUCCACAUUCCGAGUAGUCAGGAGUAUUUUGCUUCCAUUAAUACAGUCCAUAUGUCAUCAAUGACUACCAAGUAUCUCCUGCCUUUCAGAUGCUUUUGCAGUCGGUCCGCUAGUUGAUUCUCAGGUUCAUCACUUAUCGAAGAAAGAAGGCCUAGGAUUACAUUUCUCACACAAUACUCCUGCGAAACAGUUACUUUUGCACGAAUAUCAAAUCGAGACAUAAUGUAAGGAUCACUAUAGAGUUUUGCAGCCAAAGUUGUUUUCCCGAUGCCUCCCAUCCCUACGAUUGAGACAACUUCUAGUUCCCUUCCUCCUCUAGCAAGUUGAUCCAGCAUCAUCUCAAAUUCAUUUUCACGGCCAACCAUUAUAUUCUCGGGCUGCUCAACAUCAUGUUCAGGUAAACUGACAAGUGAGCUAGUUUGUGGUUUUAGAUCUUUCAUGCUGUCCGAUGCUGCCAUCCACUGUUUCACGGUGGAAGCAAUGCAUUCUAGUGCUUGUUCCAAGACGAAAAAAAUCUCCCACAUAGCCCUGCUUCUUUCCUCCAAAUUCUGUGCUAAAAAAACAUUUCUUGAUUCCGAGUCAACCAUAUCUUCUGUUGUGUAUGCUACCUCUACGAUUUCAACUUCCAAGAUUGUUAACUCCUCAUGAUCGCCCGUUAUAUUGCAGGAAUUCUCCAGAAUAGUUCUUAAAGAUUCGAGCUUCUGUGUAUGCUACCUCUACAAUUUCAACUUCCAAGAUUGUUAACUCCUCAUGAUCGCCCAUUAUAUUGCAGGAUUUCUCCAGAAUAGCUCUCAAAGAUUUGAGCUUUUCAUAAAACGGUUGCAAAAUCACAUCCAGUAAGUUCCAUUGAUUGAUGUAUGGUUCUCAUAAGGGAAGUAACAGCAGCAUAAGCCAUAUAUACCAAAAAAUAGAAAUAUCUCUCAGUAUGAAAAUAGGACAAAUUGCCACAAGUUAUGUAAUUUUUCAGUUCUUAAGAAAACAGAAAAUGCAAGGUUCUUUCUUUUACUAGCUAUUUCCAUCACAUUUCUAGCUAGG